This 53514-nucleotide long non-coding RNA is filed under the name Ananas comosus (pineapple). Its description in RNAcentral is "long non-coding RNA (ACOM_LNC013966)". Lineage: Eukaryota; Viridiplantae; Streptophyta; Magnoliopsida; Poales; Bromeliaceae. The record is from RNAcentral.
UUUCUUCGAUCUCUAACUAACAAACUUAAACCAAUAUCUAUAACUCUAUAUGAAUCCCCAAUAAAAUUGAUGACAUGGCAAGCCCUCUUUUUUUAAAAUUUUUUAAAUUUUUUAUAUUUUUUAAUGGUGGUUCAUUCUUCUUUAUUCUUACAUUUAAUGUUCUUAAUAGUUAUAAUUCCAUUAAUACUCACCUCUUAAUUACUCUUUAAUUUUAUUUAUAUCUCCUUUAAAUUUUUUAAUAGUGAAAUAUUUAAGACAUCUAUCUAUACUCUUAUAUGAAUCCCCAAUAGAUAAAGCUGAUGUGGCACAACAUUAUUUUUUUGAAUUUUUUUUUAAAAAAACAGCAAUAGAAUAAAUCAAAUAAUGACUAAUUAAUAAUUAAUAAUAUAGUAUUAUUUAUUACCAUAUACAAGACUGUUGGACUUCUCAAAUAGUUAAUAGUUAUUCCCUAUAAAUUAAUUUUGAAAGUUACUAAAUUACCAUAUUUUUUCUUAUANACUGUCUAAUUAUUGCCCAAGAAUAAUUGCUUCAGUUUUAUAUGUUUAUAUUUUUACUAUCUUAUUAUAUUUAAUGUUGCUAAUGAUAGCUAUAUAUUACAUGCAUAUGUUUUUCUUUCCUAAUUAAUUAAAUAAAUACUAUAUUUUAGAUAACAAAUUAAUAUAUGGUAGUAAAUAUAGCUUCUCCAAAUCCUAAAUCCUAAAAUCCCAACCUUUCCUCUCCCUCCGCACCCUCCCUCGCCACCGCCCCUCCGAUCGGUGGCGCCUCCUCUCCGCCGGCCCCGCCGCCGUCCACACGGCGGUGGCCAUCUAAAAGGAGACCUCGGAGGAGGAGCGGCUAGAGACCUUCCUCCGCAUGGCGGACCUCACUACUGCCACGUCCGUGCACCCGCAGUUCGAGCGGAUGAUCCGCGAGGCCCUUGACGAGAUGUGCGCGGCGCUCAAGGCCGUGGACGGGGGUGCCGCGUUCAAGGAGGAUGUGUGAUCGCGCCCAUUUGCAACAAUUUCGAACUCUUAUACGACCCCCACUCUUACCCUCGAUCACUCCUUUCUCGAAAAAAAGUAAGAACUCUAUAAGUUUUUAAUUUUUAUCCGCCGCAUCGCGUGAAUUCCUACACUAUAUACAUUAUUACUAAACUGAAAAUAUAACUAAAAUAUCUCUAUUUCCGAUAUAGGACAACUCAUUCUUUUUUAUACUAUUCAUAAAAAUUUAGGCAUAGAGUGGAGUUUAAUAUCUAAAUUUUUUUCGACAGCUUUAUUUAUUUAUUUAUUUAUACAGAAUCUACCCGCUGCAACGCGCGGGUGCCUUCACUAGUAGUAAUUGUAUUCGGGUACGUUUUCUUUUUUUUUGCUGGUAUUAUCAAAUCAAUCACAAUAAAUUCAUCACCUGCGGAAUGAAAAAUAAUUGGCAUCAUUUCCACAUUUUAAUAUUUUUCUUUCUAAACGUUCUAGAGUCUUUAUACCGUAUAAGAAACUACAAAGCCAUUAAUACAUGCCACACAUGGGCACUACGUAUUGUGAUCCUUCACUACUCUGAAGCUGAUCAUUAAACUCGUUUUUUCAUUCUAUUAAGCACACUUCCUUUUAUUUGCGACAAACUUUCUUGCUAUAGUAUUUGAAUACUAAAUUAGUUGUUUGGAGCAGUAACGUUCCAUAUAUCUUUGAGCACUUUAGAAUAAAACUCUACCAACUUGUCAGCUUCCGGAAUAUGCUCCUUCACGCCUAUGACGGAGCCGAAGCGCUCUGCCCAUUUCGCUAAGAGAGGAAACUUUGCAUCGUCGAUGAGUUUGAUACUCGAUAUCUUCUCUAUCAUCUUCACCCAGCCCAGAAAGCUUCCGAAAGUGAUGUCGAGAUAGCCCACGUUGUUUCCGCCGAAGAAGGGCUUCCCUUUGAAGCUUUUCUCAUAAGCUUCUUCUAGUAAACUAAGUCCUACGAACGAUUGCUCAAUAGCUUCUGCUUUCUCUUUUUCUGUCUUUACCUUGAUAUACUUUGGUAAAGUAGGAAACCACUGCAUAUAAAAAGAAGCAGGGAUACAGAAAAAAAAAAACACUAUAUAAAUCUUUUGAUUUAUUGUAAUACCACUUAGUAACAAACACGAUGAAAUAUGUUAGAAGUGAAAAGUUAUACACUACUAUCAGCAAUUCUGCAAUUGAGACUUGAAUCCAAAACCCCUCCCAAAUCCAAAGUCACGCCUUACCACUGGUUUGGCUUCGUGGGUCGAAAUUGAGAUGAAUAUCUAAUAUUUGCAGAUAGGGCAUUGUCAUAAAUGAAAUUACUAAGACAACUAAGUCCAAUAUUUUUUUUCACUGUUCUUUAACAUCUAGCAACCAGUUUGUGUUUGCCCUAGAUUAUUUUAGAAUCAGUUGCUCUACUGAAUCAAAAUGAUUUCCGAUAAAGUAUAAGUAGGACCAAACAAACUCCAAAGCUAGAAUAAUAACAUACCGUGUCGUCAAUAUAGCCGGCCCAAAAGCGCGCGGUGGCGCGUUCAUAUGGAUCCGAGGGAAGGAUCGACGGCCCAGUUCCGGCCCACACUUCGUCGAUGUAUUGGACGAUGAUCGCGGACUCGCAAAUGGGCCGGUCGUUGUGGAUCAAAACUGGCACCUUCUUGUAAACGGGGUUUGAUUUGAGCAGGAGCUCACUCUGAUUUUCCCAAAGUUGUUGCUCCAGGUACUCGUAGCUCACCCCCUUGAGUUCCAAAGCAAUUUUUACUCUAAUCACGUAGGGACUUGGCCACGCUCCUAAGAGCUUCACUUCGUCUCCUGACGCUGCCAUAUUAUAUGGGGCAAUAUAUAUAGUUUUCUCGCAAAAUGGAAUCGUUAAUAAGUAAACAAUUAUUCGGAGAUGGGCAACAAAUUUGGUGUGGUUUUGGGGUUUUAUGUUGAUGUGGGUAUUUAUAAUAGAGAGUUAGGAAAGAAGUGGUUGGGUAGGUGAUGAAAUGUGUGGUGGAAUAUGUUAGCUUUGUGGAGGUUAGUUGAAUGGUGCUAUAGAUAUUUAAAUACAGUUGAACGCCUCGUCUUGUGUCUUUAAUGAGUUGUUUUCAUGUUGAUAAAUAAUAUAUUAUUCUUAAGGGGCAAUCUGAAAAGUUUCAAGGUUUUUUUAAUUUACUCUAUUUAAAAGACUAAUAUAAAAAUAUUUUUUCGCUGUUUUAAAUUCUUUCAGAUAUAUCCUAAGAGUUUAAUUUUGAUAGUAAACUGUUAAAAAUAGUUAUUAUUUCUAUAAAAAUACUAAUUUGUCCUUUCAAAUAUAUCCUUCUACUGUCACCAACUUUUUUUUUUUUAUUCUUAAGUUAGGGAUAAAAAGGUAUUUUGAUCUUUUAUCCUUUUAAUUAAAUAUGUACUUUUACUAUCACAAAUUUUUCUUAUUUAUCCUUAAGUUAGAAACAAAAAAAAUAUUUGACUUUUUUUUUUUAACUCUGAUAGAAAUUUAAUCCGAAUUUAACCAAAGAUGAUUUAACGGAUCCUACUGGCAGAGUUAUUUUUGAAUAACUGAAAAAUAUACAAUGGAUAUGUUUUACACAGAAAAAAGUAGGAAUAUAUAUGAUGUUUUAGAAGUUUUGGAAGAUAUAUAGUUAAUUCUUCUUACUUUUAAAUUUCAUACACAAAUUAAUUAGAAUUUUUUUUUCUUAUAUUUAUUAAUAUAUGUAGCCUUAUUUGGAUAUCGAAAUAUUAUAUUUAAUAACAGCUUAUUCCAUAUUAAACUUUUUUAUAAUAUUGAAAACUAGAAUUUUAAUUUUUAUAUUCCUUAGAAGGUCAUGACGUCUAUAAUUUAAUUAAAUAAUAUAUUUUAUCUAUAGAAUAAUUUAUUUUAUUUUAAAAGAUAAUUUAAAGAAAAAAAUAUGAUAUCUAACCUUGAAAUUAAGAUGAUUAAUCACAUAAAUGGGUCAACUACAUGAGCGUGCUUUUCCAUUUUGGAUCUGAUUUACUUCGUCGUUGCUGAUGUAUGCUAAUUUGACCCAUCUCGAGAAGUAUUUUUAUAUUGAUUUUUUUUUUUUUUUCCGAACUUGUCUUUUGAAUUUUGUGCUUGGAGUAGAAGAUACUGACUAAUUAUAGUGAUAAGCUUAAUUUUAUAAGCCUUUUCUUAUCUGUUGGGCCCAUUUGGCUCUUAUUAGGUAGUACUAAUUAUUUUAACCUAACUAGUAAUUUUUUAUUUUAUAAUUAAUAAUUUUGUGUUAUUAUUAUUAUUAGUGUCAGUGGUUUUUUAUAUAUCUAAUCAUAAUUUUCGAUGUGGGACAUUGGGACAAUUGGGAUUUAUCUCAUACACAUAGUCCAAUAUCAUCAGACGAUAUGAGAUUUAUCCCGCUAGUCUUGUCUUUUAAAGCCUAUUAUAGCUUGUCAUUCCCUAUUUCUGGCUUAAGCUGUUAUUCAGACCUUGCCUCACCGAGACUCAUCUCGCACUUCCAGCGAAUGAUUGGAUUUGAUAUCAAAUGUAACAAUCCAACCUGCUGGCGAUAAUAAUUCGUUCAAUUCAAACCAUCAACUCAAAAAUAUUUAAGUGCUAUUAUUACUAGGGCACGAGGCAUCACAUAUUUUCAAUUUGUAUUCUUUUUUCAUCCGAUGCAGAAUUAUUGGGACAUUACGUAGGACUGUAAUCGGUUCGGUUUGGUUCGGUUUUGGGGUAAAUCGUUAACCAAAUCAAAUUCUUUGGUUUGAAGAAAAUACAUAUGAGGCAAACCGAACUAAGAACUGAUCCAAACCAAACCAAAUUAAUUCGAUUUGGUUUCGUUCAGUUCGGUUUUACAAUAAUUUUUAGAUUUUUUAAUAAAUUAAUUUAUAAUUUGAGAUUCAAAAUUGAAUUAUUAUGAAAUCACACACAAAAUAUUUAAACAUAAAAUAUAGUUUUAAAAAAUAUGUUGAUAUAAUUUUGAUUUGAUCAUAAAUAUAAAAUUUUAAAUAGUUUAGAUAAUAAGUGUGAAAUAUAUUACUAUUAGUUUUGGGUUCGGUUUGGUUAAGUAAUGUGUUCAAAUUGAACUGAAACCAAAAUCCAAAUUUUAAUAAAUUUCAAAAUCGAACCGAACCGAAAACCAUAUAAAUCGAAUCAAAUAGUCUUCUUUGAUUUGGUUCAGUUUGCUUUCCUAUUUGGAACCAAACCGUCUAUUUGGAACCAAACCGUGCACGCCCCGUCUUUAUUCUAAUCGUAAAUUAACACAUAUUUCGGCCAUUUUUAUCAUAUUGGCUUUAUGGGUAACAUGAUAUCAGAAUUAAUCAUAAAUCCUUUUGUUUCCAAAAAUUCUGAUUUUGAUUUCGAUUCUUAUAUUUGUCAUUUUAUACUAGACUGAUAUUUUGUCUCAUAGUAAUAAUAUAAAAAAACCAAAAUUAAUUGGUGAAAGUAUAUGGAUUUUAUAUGUUUUAUUUUGCAUUUGGAAGUAGGUAAUAAAAUUUUAAAAGUUUUAAUUUUGCUAUCUAUUCUUGCGAUAUAUUUAGUUUAAAUAUAUUCUUAUCAAAACUUGACAGCAUUUUUAAUAGUUUUUGACAUAUAUUAUAGCUUAAUAGAAUAUUCUAUUAUUUGAUAAUAUGUUUCAUUACUACUAAUAAAGAUAUCAAAAUUUAAACAAAUUUAAUUCAUUUUUCCUAAAAAAUAAAAAAUGGAAAGUAAUGUAAGACUAGCUAAUCGCAUUAUGGAAUUUCGUAUUCGAAUCAGAACUCAUUUUAAAAGUCGAAACUCAUUUUAUCAAAAUUAAUUUUUGGCUCAAACUUCUUAAAUGAAUUUUACAGUCAAAUUAAAUUGAAUGAAUAAUAGUGUUUUACAAAGUGUUAGUGUUAUGAGUGAUAGCAUGAUAAUAUCUAAGAAAUAACAUUACCACUGUAUUAGCAACAUAUUGGUAUUUAGUCAAAUUUAAAUGGAUUGUACUCAAGUUCGAAUUCUAUUUGAUUCACAUUUCUAGCUAAGUUUAUUUCUAAAUGAAAUAAACGAAGCGGAUAACACGCUACCUAUCUCUCCAAAAAAAAAGAAAAAAAAAAGCCUAUAAAACCAGUAUAGUAAUGACCAUAAUUGUGCUCUUUAAUAUCGCCGAAAGUAGUUUGUCGUCCUUUUGACAUACCUUAGCAUUGAAAAUGUCAUACAAAAAUGAUGCCGAUUUGCACAAUUCACUACAACAAAAACGGGAUAUAGUGACACUUUUAAAUGUCGGUAUAGAUCAAAAAAAGUGUUGUUGGCUAAAUUACCGACACUUUUAAAAAGUGUUGCUAUAUGUGGGGUCGCUAGAUAUAUAGUGACAUUUGAAGAGUGUCGGUACAACAUAAAAAGAAUGCUGCUAAUUUACUAAUAUUUAUUUAAGUAUUUAACAACCGCCGGAACCCUACCUCAUCGACUGCGGCGGGGGUGGAGGAGGAGAGCGAGGGGCUCUUCGUCUAGGAUUUCAGUGGAUUGGGUGAGAAGAGAAGAAGAGUUGGUGAUUGAUUUUUCUUUUUUUUUUUUCCUUUUCUGUUUGUAAUCGGCCGAAUGAGCUGGGUGGAGUGGGUUAAAUAGAUAACUUUUAUUUUUGAUUGAAUUAGGCUUUAUAUUUAGGGCGUGUUUGGUUCGCUUCUUUUUCACCAUGGAAUCGGAAUCGGAAUGGGUGAAUCCGUUUGUGGGUGUUUGGUACGCGGGAGUCCCAUUCCGAUUCCGAUUCCCGAGUGGAAUGGGAAUGCUCCAAUCACCCCUUUUUUCAAUCCGGCCUAGGAGGCCGGAUUGAAAGUUGAAUCCGGACGGAAUGGAUAUUUAUUCGGAUUAAAUUUAUUUUUUCAACUUUUUAAAUUAAAAUAUAAGUUAAAUUUUAAAAAUUAAAUAUAUAAUUUUAAAUUUUAAUUUGAACUUAAAUUAAAAAUUAAAAUUUAAUCAAGUAUUUUGAAUCUAACUUAUGAAUUUGAAUUUAAAUUAAAUUUUAAUUUAUAUGAAGUUUAUUCAAAUUUUAUUUCAAACUUAAAUUAAAUUUAUGGAUUCAAAUUAAAAUUUAAAUUGUAAUUUUAAAUUUGAAUUUGAAUAAAUAAAAUUUUAGUUUCAUAUUUUGAAUUAUCCACUCAACUUCAAAGAUUAAUUUAUUUUAAAAAAAUAGAUUUAAAAAUUUGAUAUUAUUUAAAAAUUUUGAUGUAAAUUUUUAAUAUUUAAUUUUUAAUUUGAAUUUAAAUUAAUAUAUUAUAAAGAUAAUGUUCGUAUAUUAAUUUGAUUACGUUUUUUAUAUCCACCUGAACCAAACACCAACAAUAGGAAUGAUUUAUUCCGAUUCCGAUUCAGGUGGUGAACCAAACGGAAUUAGGUAAUGAGCCAUUUCGAUUCCGAUUCCAGCUUAUUUUGAUUCCGAUUGCGAUUCCAACUCCGACUACGAACCAAACACGCCCUUAGACCUUAAUAGAUUUUUUUAAAAAGUUUUGGUAUAAAUGGAACACUUAUACAAAAAUAUCCCAAAUAUAUGUCGCUAUAACCUAAUUUUUUUAUAGUGAAUUUUGAAGAUUAUCCAUUAUGGAAAUAAGUCGAGUAUGUUAUCACGGAAACUCUUAUUGUCAAAACAUUUUCUACUAUUAGACGAGCUAAAAGGUUCAAUUGUUACAGCCGUUAGAAACGAUGCAUAUUCUUUGAGAAUAGUAGAUAUUGCUUUGGCAAUAUCAAUUUCGUAUCAUCUUACUUUCUCUUUUAGGAUUGUUUGUUUUUGUAUUGCUGUUGUGUGCUAAUUUGUUCUUUAAUAAUCGCACAUAUUACCGACCGUCUCUAGCGCAAGUGGCAAAAGAUUUGGUGGUUGGUAUCCAAGAUCUCAAGUUCGAAUCUAAAAUAAAAAAUAUCGCACAUAUUUUAAAUGAGAACUAGUACUUAAAUGCAAGCUGAAAAAAAAAAAAAAAAAAAAAAAAANAAAACUUUUGUACUUAUAGUUCAAAUUUAGUUAUUAAAUUUGCUUUGUUUACUGUAAAAUAAGAGUAAAUUAACUUUCAUCUGAACACUUUUAUACGCUUUUUUGUCAGAUUAAAUUUGUUCAAUUGAGAUCUAAUGUGUUCGUCCGGUUCAAAAUAUUAUGUAUCUGAUCUAGUUUUUCUUUGAUCGCUAACUAACAAACUUAAACCGACAGAUAGAGCAAAUUGUAUUAGAACUUUCUUUUUCUGCUAGAACUGCAACCAUGAUAAAUUCAUCACCUGCAGAAUUAAAAGUAACUGGCAUAAUUCCCACAAUUUAACAUUUUCCUUUCAAAAUGUUCCAGAGUCUUUAUAUUUUUUUUUUUGAGAAAAAGAUAGCAAAUUAUCUGCUCCAUUCAUUAGGCAAAAUGAACUAAGCAUAAAGGAUGAAUGAAAGAAACUACAAAGCAAUACACAAACGCAUGCCACACAUGGGCACUUUGAUCCUUCACUACUCUAAAGAUGAUCAUUAAACUCAUCUAUUCAUUUUAUUAAGCACGCUUCCUUUUAUUUGCGACAAACUUUCUUGCUAUAGUAUUUGAAUACUAAAUUAGUUGUUUGGGGCACUAGUGUCCCAUAUAGGCUUGAUCACCUUCCAAUAAAGCUCCACCAUCUUGUCAGUUUUCGGAAUGUGCUCCUUCAAGGUCGUGACCGAGUCGAACCGCUCUGCCCAUUUCGCUAGGAGAGGAAACUUUGCCUCGUCAAAGAGUUUGAUACCUGAUAUCUUCUCUGUCAUCUUCACCCAGCAUAGAAAGCUUUCGAAUGCGAUGUCGAGAUAGCCCACAUUGUCCCCGCCGAAAAAGGGCUUUUCUUUGAAGCUUUUCUCGUAAGCCUCUUCUAUUAAACCGAGUCCUACGAAUGAUUGCUUUAUACCUUCUGCUUUCUCAUUUUCUGCCUUUACUUUGAUAAUUUUUAGUAAAGCAGGAAAACACUGCAUAUAAAGAGAGGUAGAGAUAAAAAAAAAAACUUCAUAAAUAUUUUGAUUUAUUGCAAUAUCACAGAAUAACCAAUACGAUAAAGUUAGAAUUGAAAAGAUGUACACUACUAUUCGAAAUUAUGUAAUUGAGACUUGAAUCCAAAACCCCUCCCAAAUCCAAAGUCAUGCCUUGCCACUGGUUUGGUUUCAUGGGUCAAUAUUUAGAUGUUAUAUAAAUAAUGUACAGUACUUAACGGAUACAAUAUUUUAAUGAAUGAAAUCACUCAAUUUUUCCAUCUAACAAUUUAGUCCACUAUUCUUUUCGUCAUUCUUUAACAUUUAGCAGCAAGUUUGUGUUCGGCCUAGAUUAUUUUAGAAUCAGUUGCUCUACUCAAUCAAAAUGAUCGUUUCCGAUAAAACAUAAUAAGUAAGACCAAACAAACUCCAAAUCUAGAAUAACAUACCGUGUCGUCAAUAUAGCCGGCCCAAAAGAGCGCGAUGGCACGUUCAUAUGGAUCCGAGGGAAGGAUCGAGGGCCCAGUUCCGGCCCAAACUUCGUCGAUGUAUUGGAUGAUGAUCGCCGACUCGCAAAUUGGCCGAUCCUUGUGGAUCAGAACUGGUACCUUCUUGUACACGGGGUUUGAUUUGAUGAGGAGCUCACUCUUAUUGUUCCCAAGUUGUUGCUCCAAGUACUCGUAGCUCACCCCCUUGAGUUCCAAAGCAAUUUUCACUCUAAUCACGUAGGGACUCGCCCACGCUCCUAAGAGUUUCACUUCCUCUCCUGACGCGGCCAUAUUUUAUGGGAAUUGAAAUAGUUUUCUUACAAAAUGGAAUAGUUACGUAAACAAUUAAAUGGAGAUGGGCAACAAAUCUGGUGGGGUUUUGGGGCUUAUGUUGAUGAGGGUAUUUAUAGAAAGGUAUGGAAGGAGUGGUUGGAUAAGACUAUGACUUUGUUGUGGCUUGUUGAAUGGUGCUACAGAUAAUUAAAUACAGUAAAAUGCUUCGUGUCUAGUGUCUCUAAUGAGUUAUUUUUAUGUCGAUAAAUAAUAUUAUUAUUUUUAAAUUUCAUACAUCAACUAAUUAGAAUAUUGUUUGGACAUCCAAAUAAAAUAUUUAAUAAUAAGGUAUUCCAUAUUAAAAUUUUUUCUUAUAAUAUUGGAAACUAGGAUUGUAAUUUUUAUAUUCUUUAAAAGGUCAUGACAUUUAUAAUUUAAUUAAAUAAUAUAUUUUAGGCCAAUUUGUAUAAAAAAUUUAUUAAUUUUGAUAUUUUGAAAAUGUAUGUUAUUUUUUGGAUUUUGCACAUUCAGAUAAGAUUUUUAGAAAACUGAUCAAAAUACCCUUAUUAUAUUUUCUAUUUUUUUUUUUUUCAUCGCGUUCGUUUUUUUCCCUCUCCGACCCUCUUACAUCGUCUCCGCAGCCCUAAAUCCUACCGGGAGGGCUGGGGGUUCGAACCCUAAACCCCACCCUCUUGGCCCCUCUUCUUUGGUGUUGCUGCGCUCUCCUCCGUCUCCACCACGUGCUGUCUCCGAAUAGGCACCAUGGGCCGCGUGCCCCUUUGCUUGUCGGCGAGCUUUUCAGCACCAAGAAGCGCUUCCUCUUCAUCGUAGGUGGUGGCAGUGGGGACGGCGGAUUUCCAUAAGUGGAUUUGGUAGGUGGCGGAUCUAUUGCGGUGGAGGUGGAAGGCGAAGAGAAGAUGAGCGCAGAAGAAGAACAAGGAAGCGAAGGGAGAGGAAGAGGAGAAACAGUAUAAUUUUUACCGAAAAAAUACAAUUUUCGUUUAAAAAGUGUAAUUUUUGUCUCAAAUAAUAUAAUUUUUAUUUCAAAUAGUAUAACUUUUGUUUUAAUUUCAAAUAGUGUAACUUUUGUCUAAAAUAGUAUAACGUUCUUCUAAAAUAGUCAAAUUCAUCUUAACAGUGCAACUUUAUUCUUUUUUUUUUCUUUGGUUAUUCAUCUUUUUUUUUCGUAGAAAAAAGUAUUUUUUUAUUAUUUUAUUCUUUAUUCGUUUUUUUUUACCAUCUGUAUCUUUUUUCUCUAUCGCGAUCUCUUCCUUACUCUCUACCGCAGUCACACCCCUUGCAAAAAGUGCUCCUUGGAGAAACGCGUACUCAUUUUCGUCCUCACUCUUACACUGGCACUCUUUUAGAGUCCUCCUCCUCCUUCGGCACUAAUGUCGAUGCCUGCGCUGGCCAAGUCGGAGAAAUUAUCGUCACAAAGGGCCGCAAAGGCGAUGGAGUGGGGUCUGUGAGAAAAAAAUGCGAGAGAGAAAAAAAAAAGAAAAAGAAAAAAGAGAGAGAAUGGAAUAAAGGUAUUCACGUCAGUUUUUUAAAAAUUCGGUCCAGGCCUACAAAAUUUGAAAAGACAACCUAUUUUUACAAAAUCUCAAAAUUAGUAAUUUUGUUAUGCAAAUUCACCUAUAUUUUAUCUAUAAAAUAAUUUUAUUUUAUUUAAAAAGUACUUAAAAAAUAAAAUAUGAUAUGUACAAUCUAUUCUAGAUGUUUGAUCGCAUAAAUCUAUAUAUCGGAAUUGAGGUAAUAGUUUACCUGUUAAAUAUAAAAAUGUUUAAACACCGUUCUCUAACGGUUUAAGUUUUUAGAGUACAACAGCGGUUUCACAUGGUAUCAGAGCAGGAGGUCUUGAGUUCGAGUCACGCCAGACUCGUAGCAUAUUAAUUUCCUCCCAUUUAAUUCAAGCAUACACCCGACUAAAAAGUCUCAAGUCCAGACGCGAGGGGAAGUGUUAAAAUAUAAAAAUAUUUAAACACUUAUGGUCACAUUACAAGAAUAAUAUUCUAGGGAGUCGUGUAGGUUCUUUACUUUCUGGAGUCAAGUAUACUAGUGAAGACACCCGCGCGUUGCGGCGGAUUGAUUUUAUGAAAGUAAAUAAUUAUCAAUGAUCUAAACAGUUUUGGGGAAAAAAAAGAAAAAAAAAAGAGAAGAAAAAAAAAGAAAAAGAAGACAAAUACUAAAUAGAAAGUAAAUAAAAUACGAAUAAUUAGGGAUAAAUGGAUCGACUAAGAGAAGCAGCGCGAGUUUCAAAAAUAUAAGGCAACAUUUUAUAGCAAUAUAUUUCAAAAACAAAAUAAUAAAUAAAUAAAUAAUUGAUUGAUUUUUAGCUAAAUUAAACACUGAACAAUUCAACAGAUUGAACAACAGAGACAGCCGUGUGGAUUAGAAACGAAAAAGAAUAAAAGAAACUGAAGCAGAAACUAAUGCAAAAGAAGCAUAGUAGUAGCCGCAGAAAGAGUAGUUAAACAAUAAAUAAAAAUAAAAUACCAAAUACUGUCAAAAAUAGUUUUUAUUGUUAAAUGAGUUUAGAUACAAAGUAUUGCCUCAACGAACAAUAUUUAAGGAAUAAUAGCUACAUACAUUAUGGCAAAGAAGGGAUAAAAAAAACAUGUAUUAUGUUAGAUGCUAUUUUAAAAAAAAAAAAAAAUAGAAGCACACAGAACAAAAUAAAUAGUGGGCAUUUGUUGUUAAGAAAUUUGAAAAAAUGGCAUAAUUGGUCAGCCUAGAAAGCAUAAAGAAUGUGAUAUACUUUUCUAGGGAGCAACUACUGCAUGUUAUGUAGUCCUUCAUAUUGCUCUCAAUGGGGGCACAGGAAAAUACUUCUUAGACUGCAGUAAGAGUCGCCAUUUGGCCAUCAAAAUUGGAGAACCAUUUGGGUUCCUUCACUUUUGUUUGUCAUCAUCGCUCAUUAAUAAUCAACACUUUGAACAGGACGGAAAACCAGCAAUAGUAAAAAUAGAAGAAGAAUAAAGAGGCUGAGAAAAAAGAAGAAUAAACAACAGUAGAAACUACAGAAACAGAAGCCGGCCUCCACAUGCUGCGAGACACGCGUUACAGCGCAUUUUCAUUUAAUCCUUGCUAGGUGGAACACAUUACCAUUUAAUUAAUCCCCUAUGGCACAUGGUGUCAACUAAUCCUCCAAUCCUUGCAUCCAUUAUUAUUAUGGCACUGGAAUUAAUUUGUGUAGAUUAUAGUCCAUGACCCUACAGUGCUUUAGUCCAUAUGAAUACACUUGACUAUGGGCAGGUAAAGUUAAUUAAAAAUAAACUAACUGAAACCAGAUGCAGUUUUUAUUUUUUUUUCUUUGAGUACCCCUCGAUUAUACAUUUUUUGAAAUAGACCCCUUAAGUAAGUAUUAUUAUUUUGAUCGGCGACUUUCAAAACUUGUGAUCUAUCAUCCCAAUUAGAGAUUUUGUUCAGUUUUGAGUACUUAUUCAAAUGAUGAUAGUAACUUCAGAUUUUGUCAACAAUUAUUAUUGGUAGAUAGAUAACAAACAAUUUCUUAAUUCAAUUUGCCGGAAUUUUGGGAUUUUGUACAAAUUCUUUGGCUACUCAGAAUUUUGGGAUUUUGUAGUUGUCACCUAGCAUGUCUUGUUCUUUUUGUUCCUUCCUUUAUUUCCUUUCACCUCCGGUUUGCUCUAGUGUCUGCAUAGGUCCUUGUGAUGCUGUGAAGCUAUUGAAAGUCCAAUAUUGCUCUUCUUUGGAGAGAAAGUUGAUACAACUUCAGAAAUCUCAAUGGAAGGGUAAGAAGAAUUGCAAAACCAACCCUUGGAGAAUUGGCUUUGAGUAGGACACUCAGGAUGACUCAAGGAAGGCUAACUAUCUCCCUCUGUAUAAGCAGAAAAGAAUGCAGGCUAACUAUCUCCCUCUGUAUAAGCAGAAAAGAAUGCAAGCUAACUAUCUCCCUCUGUAUAAGCAGAAAAGAAUGCAGAUGGUACUAAGAAAGUAAUUGAAGCUGUUGGCGAGAUGAAAACCGACACUGAAGUUUUACUCUCAAUUUUGAUUCGACACUGCUUGUGACCAUUUGUACUCUCUUGUUUGAUAAUGUUACCGGCAUUCUUUAUUUCCUCCUUGUUCAGGUAAGGUGAAUUAAAAUACCCAAAGAAGGAACUAUAAAGAUCCAUGCUGAAACGUUAUCCUACAGGUAAUUGUCAAAGCAAAAUUAUGUUUUUAUAUAUAAUUCAUUGUUGUCAAUGGCUUGUACAUUGACUAAGUAGAGAAUCUAAGAUGCUAUACAGAGAAUAAAGACAAUGACAUCCAGAGCUGGAGUAAUGAAGUUCAUGCCAGAGCGAAUGACUUGAUGGUUGAUAGGCGGUUAAUUCUACAUUUUGGAAUGAGAUGAAUCUGAAGAGUUAUUGAGCAGACUCUUUAAGGAUCAGAAAUAUGAUGUGUACUGUUGCUCCCCGAAUUUUCAGGUAUGAAAGGUUUUUUUUUUGUUGCAAUACCCCAUUCAGUUUGCUAUUAAUAUGGCGUGAAAAUAACUCAUAGAAACCUAGAUUAUCCAUUUAGAAAUUCAUAAAGGUCAUCCUUAAGCCAAAACAGUAUUGUGAAACAAAGAUAAUUAAGUAUAAGUUAUAUCUAAUACCACAAGCUAAAAAAGAAUAAAGAUCACAAACAAAGUAGAAGCAAAAAUUUUCUCUUGAAUCCCUAGUUGUCACGGAUGUUAAUAAGAAAUUAUAACAACUUGCCCAAGAAAGAAUUUAGAAUUAGGGUUUUCUGGUGGUCCCAUCAGCAGAUGAAACUGCCACAUUACCUCCUGACUCAGAUCCCAUCUGACACUAACAACAAAACAGAAGAAGAGCUAUCAUUUUUAUUAGCUAAUUUACAUCAAAAUCUCCUCUAAAACCCUCUAAACCCAUUUCUCUUUAUUUUUUUAUCCUCAAUUUUAUACGAUUUUAACCCUAAUUUAUAAAUUAAAAAAUAAAAAACCAUCUCAAAAGCAGAUAAAUCAUAUUAACUCCACUCAUUCUGCUUCUACGACGCACCCUAUUUCAUGCAAUCAUGCAACAAUUUAGUGAUUAAUCAACCUGACAUCACUCAGUAAAUUUAAUGCUUAAUAAUGGUGUCCCUAGAAGCUCAGAGUCCAUGCAUAAUAUGUAAAGAUCUUUAAAGAAUCCAUUGUUGAUGAGCGUUACUUACUGAGCUGAUCACCGCAGCGAAGAACAGGACGGGCCCGGCCUUCGCGGAGGGGUUGGCGGCGCUGGGCUCGCCCUUGGCAGCGCGGUAGGCCUCGGGGGGCAUCACGCCGUACACGACUGAGACGUUGACCCCGGCCUUCUCCCACAUGGCGCCGUCCUGCUGAUGCCGCCGCCGCUGCCGCCACUCCUCCUUGAACACGGCGCCCCCGUCCUAAUUAUUUUAAACAUACUUUUUCUUACCUAUUUUAUUAUCGAUGCUGUGUUGAUAGUGGUACUACUUGAGCUGCUCAUAAAUUGAAAGACUUUCCUUCCCCUGCACCUUGAUAGUUCUAAUAGUUUGAGCCAUAUAUUUUGAAGUACAAAAGCAACUUGAUAUAUAGUUUAUGCUCGGUUUUGCUUCUAUGUUAUUAUAGGUACCAAGAGCUAAUGGAAGAAAGUUCAAAGCUUCCAUUGUUCAAACUGAACAAACUUAAUGCAUCAUUACCUGUACCUUUGAUACCAAGGAGCUCUGUAGUUCUUUUCAUUAUGGGUGCAAGUGAUGACUUCAUAGUCGCCAAGAAGGUCGGGCCCCUCUCAAUUAUCGUAAUCAUUUCACAUUCAAGGAAAGGUGCAUUGUUGUUUGGGAUAAAAAUAGGUGGAAGCUCAAUUGUUGCAAUCAUGUAACAUUCAAGGUAAGGACUAUGAAGAAAAACAAAGAGCCGACAGCCAGCAGGAAGGCAUAGGGAACCUGCAGAAAUCGAAAACAGGGACUUGCGGAUUCCACGGCAUAUAAUUUUUUUUGCUGCGAAAAUCAGGGCGAAGGAAAAGCAAAAGAAUAGAGUUUUUUCUAUGGAACAGCUCAAAACAAUGAUGUAAAAUAACCAAGUCUUGAAAGGUUGCUAAAACAAAAAGGGAAAAAGAAAUCGAAUGCAGGUAAAAGCAAGUCGAAAAUAAAGAGAUUUGACAAAUCAAAGCCAAAGAUGCAGUUUGGGGAAAUCCCAAUAGUUUAAAAAAACAUGAAACCAAUAUUUACAAAGAAGAUAAGAGUAAAGAGGAGUAGCAAACAUGGGUAGGUAUGGAAAUAAAUAAAUAAUUUUUGCUCAGACACCCCUAGUUAUCAAGCAUUAUCAGAUUGGCAGCGAAGCCUUCCCGAUUAAUAGUGCCGACCGAGCUAGAAACCAUGCGCACGCCGAAACCAUUCUUAGCACAAAUGAGAACAACUGGUUGCUUAAGAAGUAAGCCAUCCAAAGUGCUCUCAUUACCAAUCAAGAAAGCGCAGGCCUUUCUCAAUUAUCGCGACUAUCUGAUAUUGGGAAGGUCAUCAUCGCACGGGAGGAAAACGGGGAAGACAAAGUCUCGGGGAAUAGAAGGGUCAAAUUCUUAUCACAUUCAAGUGAAAGCAAAGUAACCCACAACAGACAAAACAUUGCUAUAAACUGCACAGGACCGAACUACAGUUCUUCCCCCCCUGUUUACUUUUGUCUGGACUUCUUUGGGACCCCAAAUCUGAAAUUGGAAAAGGCCCCUCCUCAAACCGUUGCACUUAACCAGCACAUCUAAUAUAUAUCUAUUUUUUUAUAAACCAUGCUGAAGGAAAGGAGAAAGGAGGAGCCUGCGGAUUCCAGGGCACUUUUUUUUCUCUUUUUUUUUUUUAACCAUGCUGCAGGAAAGGGGAAAGGAAAGAGUUUUAUCUAGAGUUGCUAAUUUAUACCUCUAUUUACAUAAUCAGACAUAUAUAUGUAAAGGAAUAACAUUUACCACUAUCCCCAGCGCCGCACCCCACCUCUCCGAUGCCCGCGAAGCGCCCUGCAAUCGCCUCGGCAUUUCAUCGAACAGGGCGCGAGCGCUCGGGAGAGGGCGCGGGGGCCUGCGAGCUCCUCGGUGUAUGAGAGGUAUGUGGCUUCAUUGGUGUUUCUAGAUCCUCGCGUGAUGGCGAGGGGGAGGAGGAGAAGAAGACCCUUGCAGAUCGGAAAGAGAGCUGAGAGAGUUCGGCGUGGAUCUGCAGGACCUCCGCGCCCUGCGGGGCGACAGGGGAAGAAGGCGGGGAGAGGGGCGCGCGAGAAAAGGUAUGAUGAAGCGUAGAGAGAGAUCGAAGAGGCGGAGGAAGGAUCGAAGAGGCGGAGGAGGGAUCGAAGAGGCGGUUGUGGGGGAGGGUUCGAAGAGGCGGGGCAGGGAUCGAAGCUGUGGGAAUCAGGAAGCGAUCGAAGAGGCGGGGCGAAGGAAUGAAUGGGAUCUGAAGUGGCGUGGUGACGUGGGAUUGAAUUAACAUGGAUUAAGGAAAAUUGGACACAUGGCAAAACAGAACGGGGAUUCAUUAGAGUUUAUAGAUAUUCCCCUCCCCAUCCCAUUCACCGUUCGGGCCAUAAUAAUUAAUUAUAUUAUAUGGCCCGAAGUUCUGCCUGCUCCCUGCAAUUUGGUCACGUGGGCUUGCCAGUCCUCGGCCUUUGCUUCUUCCGCAGUGUAAUAAGAAUCUUUCGACGAGCCCAAACACUUUUUUUUAAAAUUUAAAAUUUAAAUUUAAAUUUAAAUUUAAAUUUUAAAAUUUGAUAUAUAAAAUUUGAGAUUUAAGUUUUAAUAUUUAAAAUUUAACACUACAAAUUUAACAUUUAAAAUUUAAAUUCUAAAAUUGAAAUUUAAAAAUGUAAAUUUUUUGCUCUGAAUAUUUAAAAUUUGUAACCUGAAAAUUAAGACGUAUAAUUUUAAAUUUUCAAAUUCUAAAGUUUUAGUGUUAAAAUUAUAAAGUUAAAAGUAAAUUUUUUCACCGAAAUUUUUUUCACCGAAAAUUUUUUCACAAUUUUAUGUGGAACCAAACACAACCUGAGUGAAAGUACGUCAUACAUUAUACCGUACAAAUAAUAAAAUAAUUAAACUUUCAUUAGAAAGUAUUUUCGCAAAAUAAAUGUAGCAUUUGUGUGGGUGGAGGAAUUUGAUAAUCGGAAGGGGAGUCGGUUGGUGCGUGCAAUCUCGGGAUUGACGUCGGAAUUUGGAAUUUAUGUACUACGUACCUUGAUUUCCGAAAAUCCGAAUUUGCUGUAUCUCGCUACAAGUGGGACCCAGCCCACUUGUGGUUGUUGUGAUUCCCAAAGCUAAAACUUUUUUAAUGGAAACCGUGCUUUGCUGUUGAGGGAAAGGGAAACCGUGACUUGCUGUGGUCCCCGCAGGUGGAGAGGAAAUGAUGUGAUUCCCCCGGGGCUUCACAUCUUGGAAAGUGUGCCCUGCUGUGGUGCCCGAGGGGGAGGUGUGGCCUGUGAGAUUUGAAAUGAUGUGAUUCCUCUCUGGGAACAGAGCUUUCCAGAUUCUGCACCAAAAUAAUUAAAGCUUCUUGGAAGCUUUCUUGCAAACGUCAUACCCCCCCCUCUCAUGCCUCAAGAAGCUUCCGAGAAGCUUCUUGGAAGGUUUCUUUGAAUUCUAAAAAUUUAUAAUUUAUAAUUUCAAAAUUAAGACAUAAAAUUUAAAAUUUGAAGUGUUCAAAUUUUUAAAUUUUAAGAUUUCAAAAUUUAAAUUUUAUGCUAAAAAUUUAAAAUUUUGAAUUUUAGAAUUUAAAAUUUGAGUCUUGGAAUUUAAAAAUUAAAAAAUUGUAAUUUAAAAGCAUUUGUUUUUACAGACUACAUAGUAUAGUGUACAGUUACUAAGAUAAUUAAACUUUUAGAAAAUAUUUUGCAAAAUAAAUACAGGAAAAAAAAAUAUAGAAAGACUCCAAAAAAAAGCAAAAAAAUUGCUGAUUAAAUUCUUAAAAAAAAAUAUUUUGCGAAAUAAAUGUAUAAAAAAAAAUUAAUUGUUAAUAAAGCUGGUAGGAAAUAUUUUGCAAAAUAAAUACAGAAAAAAAAUUCUAGAAAAAGAACCAACCGUAAUUAUUAAAUCCUAAUCAUCAUCAUUACACCGUAAAUUCUAGGUCUUAAAACUUUAUUUUUUAAUAUAUGCGUAUCAAUACUUCAAUAAUAUAGUAGGAUCACAAGCACCUAUGUAACCUACUAAUUAUUUUUUUCUUCUAAAAUUUAUCCAUCUAAUUAAGAUUUUAAAUUUUUUUAAUAUUUUUAUUUUUAAAUAAGUUUUAUAUUUAAUUUGUACUAUAUAAAUAUGAGAUUGGUUGGGUUGCAUGUUAUCAAGUGGGUUAGGUUUAGGGAUGCAAAUGGGGCGGAUCUGGGGGCGGGGCCCNAAGCGAUCGAAGAGGCGGGGCGAAGGAAUGAAUGGGAUCUGAAGUGGCGUGGUGACGUGGGAUUGAAUUAACAUGGAUUAAGGAAAAUUGGACACGUGGCAAAAUAGAACGGGGAUUCAUUAGAGUUUAUAGAUUAGCAUACCUGUCCAUUUUGGAUCUGAUUUUCUUGGACAUUUCUGAUGUAUGCUAACUUGAGAAGUAUUUUUCUAUCGAUUUUAUUUUAUUUUUUUAAUUUCCUGUUCGUUUGUUUUUAAAAGGAGAAGUCAGAGAACGUACCUCUCGAUUGAAUUUUCUUCUGCUUCAUUGGAGAAGAAGAAACUCUAACUAAUUGUAGUGAGGUCACCACCGCUGUCAUCUGCAAGUCCGUCAACCUCGCCUAUUAAUUUUAAUUUAAUUGACUAAAUUUCAAAUAUCACCUCAGUAAUUUUAUAUUUUUUCACUUUAGUAUUCUGUAAUUUAAAGUGUAUUAAUAUAGUAUCCUGUGGUUUUUUUUUUUCUUUUCGUCAGUCUUUCCGUUAACUUUUCGUUAAAUCAUAUACAAAAAAACUUCAGUUACCCCACCUAUAGUUUACUAAAUAUUCACUUUAGUAUUCUUUAAUUUAACUUUGUCAUUGAUUUAACGAAAAAUAAUUAGUAGAGAGAAUAACAAAAAGAGAAAAAUAAAAUCACAGAGUACGAAAAUGAUACACUUUAAAUCAUAGUGUAUUAAAGUGAGAAGGUGCGGAACUAGAAGGGUGGUAUUUGAAGUUUUUUUUUCUAAUUUUAGAGGCAGAGUUUUGAAGAUGAAUUUGAGGCUUAAUUUAAUAAACCUUUUUUAUCCUUGGGGCCUAUUUGGCUCGCAUUAGGGAGUACUAAUUAUUUUAACAUAACUAGUAAUUAUUUAUCCGAUAACUAAUAUUUUUUUUUUUAUGCUUCAAAUUAUUAUUUUAAUACUGUAUUAUUUCAUUUGGUUUAGUACAGUACUAUAAUAUUAGAUUACUGCACAUGUAAAAUUAUUUGAUUUUAUUUAUUCAAUAUACAUCGGUAAUCCUAAUAGCAAAAUUCGUACUAUUCCAAUAAUAUUCUUUUAUACACAAAUUUAUUUAAAAUUUAAAUAUAAAAUUUGUAUUUAUGUUUAAACUUAAAUUCAAAAUUUAAUUUAACUUAAAUAUUGGUUCAAAAUGUAAAUUCAUUUUUCAAUUUUAAAUUUGAAUUUUAAAUUCAAAUUUUGAUUUUGAGUUUGAAUUUCAAAUUUAAAAUUUUAUUUUAAAUUUGCAUUUAAAAUUUAAAUUAAAAUUUUAUUUAAAUUAACUUUAGAUUAUAAAUAUAAAAUUUUAAUUUUAAUUUUAGAUUUUAAAUUCAACUUUUUAAAUUUACAUUCAAUUUUUCAAUUCAAAGCUCCAAUUCAAAGGUCCAAUUCAAAUUUCGAAUAUGAUUUCAUAUUUAUAUUCAAAUUUUAAUUUUGGAUCGAAAUUAAAAUUUAGUCUUUCACUUCAAAGUUUAAAUUUAAAUUUAAUUUUGAAUAAUUAAAAUUUUUAAUUCAACUUCAUUCAAAUUCUAAAUUUGAAUUUAAGCUAUGAAUUUUAUAUCUCAUAUUGAGUUUAGAUUUUUUUUUUGUUUAAAUUUUAAAUUCAAAUUCAACAUUUUAACUCAAAUUUCAAAUUAAAUGUUGCAAUUCAAAUUAUCAUUCAAAUUUUAAAUUUCAAAAUUUAAAUUCAAACUUAAAUUAAAGGUGAAUAAUAAUAUUUUUCACUCUUUUUAUCUAAAUUAUUUAUUAAAAUUUUAUAUUUAUGAUCGAAUCUUGAUCAUAUAUCAACAUAUUUUUAAAAAUUUUUUGUUUAUAAUCACAUUUUUUGUGUGUGUUAUCCAAAUGAUUCAAUUUUGAAUCUUUAAGUUAUAAAUUAAUUUAUCAGAGCAAUAAAAAUCUAAAAAUUAAGUACAAACCAAAUGAAACCAAAUGAAUUCGGUUUGAUUUGGGAUUGAACGGUCCAAGUAAUGGCAUUUACUGGGCUUAUGCGGUAGAUUAUAGCUACUACUACCUAAGCCCCACUUCGGGCCGUUUGGUUAGAUAUAGUUAUAAAUGCAGUGUAGUUAAAGAUAUAUGGAGUUGAAAAUACAGCAGUUACAACUACAUGAAUCAUGUUUGGUUGGAUGUAAUAGAAAGCGCUGCAAGUAUAAAUAAUUUAUUUGAUUGAAUGCAGUUGAAAAAUAAAUUUUAAAAUUUUAUCAUUUUAUAUAUAUGAUGGUGAGAUUAACUCUAAUGUAAAAAAGAAAAUUAAUUUUUGUUUAAAAAAUAUUGAGGAAGUAAGCAUAUCUUUUAUAUAAAGUUAUUCUCUCCAACUGCUGCAGUUGGAAUUGUGGCCAAUUUGGACGUAGUUCAAACUAUUGCAUUUGGCCCUCCUCCUGUAAUUUCUACUGCAGCAGUUGAAAUUUAAUAUAUCGAACUAAAUAUCGAAUUUGUAUUUAUAUGCAAUUGCAACUGCAGUUGCAACUACAUGCAACCAAACGACCCCUUCUUGUAGGACAUGAGAGUUACCAUAGGCACCUCCCCAAAGACGACACAUAGAGUGGCUACGGCCGCCGCUACUGUAGUGGCUGCUGGACUGUAGCCCCAAGUUACGGCAGCGGCCACUUAGGCGACUGCGACAUUAGUGGCUAUUGGUGCUACAUCGGUACCUGUGGGUGUUACUCCCUUAGGCACCGUAGGUAUGGCCGUGACGCCUACCUCUUCUUCUACCUCCGGUAAUGGCGAAAACUCUCAGACAUGGAGCGAACUUGGACAAAGGUGAAUUGGUGAGUUCAAGAAAUACGACCCGCCAAAGUUCAGAGACAAGACUCCCGAUCAUGGAUUGGGAGGUUUGGGUCGAUAUUAUAGAAAAGCUCUUCGAAGAGCCUCAGACAAGGCAACUGGAUAGUACUAUAGUGCGAGUGGGGUUUUGCCCGACUCGUUAGUUAACUGCAUUCCGCUUGUGAUACAGAAUGGGCAGCACAAGGCUUGGCAUUUGGUGGGAUGUUUUUCGAAAGGUUUCCGCUGAUUGAAAUCAACAGCUUGGGUGUCUUACCUUUCGUUGGUUCAUACGUCGGAAUUGACGUGCAUUAUAACUAGUUAAAACACAGUUUCGGUGCCAGAGUCUUUGGUGGUGCGCACUUCCUGUGCCGCUAUCUCAAUAUCUAAAUUGAUAUGUUUUGAGAUAGCGGGUGGUUUAUGUAGGUUUAUGGCAUGUCUCAAGAUACUCCAUGGAGUUAGUAGAAGGUCUCGGCAUUUUAGGUGGCGAGUUAGGUGAGAUUCGAAAAUCAGUUAAAGAAACCGCGUUCCGAUCACACUUGUUUGUGCCGGUAGGCGACCAGUGACGCUGGUAGUCGUCGGUUGUUGUCGGGAGCCGCCGAACUCUUUUGGAGUUGGCUCAAAGAUUCAUCCAGUUUCGGAAGUCAGCUUGUGAAGCCGAUGUUUGACCGCAUUAUGGUGCACCUCAGUGCGGUAUAGAGAUAUCGGUCUGUUUUGAAUAUGUGUUGUGUCCCCAACAAGUUGUUGGUGAUCUUCACACUUUUAGACUCUUUAAUGUUUUUGGGUUUUGUUUCAUGAGAUAGAAGGGAAAAAAAAAAAUUCUUCACUCUUGUUUCCAGUUAUGGAUUAAUCAAAGAUUAACCAUGAAGAAAGAUGGGAUCGGAUUGGGCCAAGUUUUUUUGUCAGGUUCAAUUUGUCCGAUUGAGAUCAAAGUCUUGGUCCGGUUCAAAAUAUCACGGAUCUUAUCAAUAUAGUAAACUUUUUUUGCUGAUAUUAUCAAAUCAAUCGCAACAAAUUCAUCACCUGCUAAAUGAAAAAUAAUUGGCAUCAUUCCCACAUUUUAAUAUUUUCCUUUCGAAAUGUUCCAGAGUCUUUAUAUAUAAUGAAAGAAACUACAAAGCAACACACAAAUGCAUGCUACACAAGGGCACUACAGAUUUUGAUCCUUCACUACUCUGAAGAUGAUCAUUAAACUCAUCUAUUCAUUUUAUUAAGCACACUUCCUUUUAUUUGCGACAAACUUUCUUGCUAUAGUAUUUGAAUACUAAAUUAGUUGUUUGGGGCACUAGCAUUCCAUAAAUCUUUGAGCACCUUCGAAAAAAAUUCUACUAACUCGUCAGUUUUCGGGACAUGCUCCUUCACGGUCGCGACGGAGGCAAAACGCUCUGCCCAUUUCGCUAAGAGAGGGAACUUUGCCUCGUCGAUGAGUUUGAUAUCUGAUAUCUUCUCUAUCGCCUUCACCCAGCCCAGAAAGCUUCCGAAAAUGAUGUCGAGAUAGCCCACAUUGUCUCCACCAAAAAAGGCCUUCCCUUCAAAGCUUUUCUUAUAAGUCUCUUCUAAUAAACUGAGUCCUACGAACGAUUGCUCUAAUGCUUCUGCUUUCUCUUUUUCUGUCUUUACUUUAAUAAUUUUGAGUAAAGCAGGAAACCACUGCAUAUAAAAAGAGACAGAGAUAAAGAAGAAAACUUCAUAAACGUCUUGAUUUAUUUCAAUAUCACGUGGUAACCAAUACGAUAAAGUAUACUCAAAUUGAAAAUUUAUACACCACUAUCCGAAAGUCUGUAAUUAAGACUCGAAUCCAAAACCCCUUUCAAAUUUGAAGUCAUGCCUGACCACUGGUUUGAUUUCAUGGAUCAAUAUUUAGAAGUUAUAUAAACGUACAGUACUUAACAGACAUAAUAUUUUAAUAAAUAAAAUCACUAAAUUUUUCCAUCUAACACAAACAAUUUAGUCCAAUAUCCUUUUUGCCGUUCUUUAACAUUUAGCACGCAGUUUGCGUUUGGCCUAGAUUAUUUUAGAAUCAGUUACUCUACUCAAUCAAAAUGAUCAUUUCCGAUAAAACAUAAGUAAGACCAAACAAACUUCAAAUCUAGAAUAACGUACCGUGUCGUCAAUAUACCCGGUCCAAAAGCGCGCGUUGGCACGUUCAUAUGGAUCCGAGGGAAGUAUCGAGGCCCCGGUUCCGGCCCAAACUUCGUCGAUGUAUUGGACGAUGAUCGCGGACUCGCAAAUGGGCCGAUCAUUGUGGAUCAAAACUGGGACCUUCUUGUAAACGGGGUUUGAUUUGAGCAGGAGCUCACUCUUCUUUUCCCCAAGUUGUUCCACCACAUAGUCGUAGCUCACCCCCUUGAGUUCCAAAGCAAUUCUUGCUCUAAUCACGUAGGGACAUCCCCAACUUCGUCCUAAGAGUUUCACUUUGUCUCCUGACGCUGCCAUAUUAUAUGGGAAUUGAAAUAGUUUUGUUACAAAAUGGAAUCGUUUAAGUAAACAAUUAUAUGAAGCUAGGCAACAACUUUGCUGCGGUUUUGGGGUUUAUGUUGAUGAGGGUAUUUAUAGAGAGGUAUGAGAGGAGUGGUUGGAUAUGUUGGUGAGGAAAAUGCGUGGAAUAUGACUUUACUGUGGUUUUUUUUUUUUUUUUUUUUUUUUUUUUUUAGUUAAAGCUUGAAAACAAGAAACCGUUCGAUUAAAUUGUUGAUCACUUAGAGGUUAUUCAAUUCAUUAUGCAAUUCAUUAUUCUCUAAUCACCUAAGUAAAUAAUGAACCAACAGCAAUUAAAAUUUGAACAUUUGAAGGAGUNAUUUCAUGCACAAGUUAGUUACAAUUUUUUAUCUCAUUUUUAUUAAUGUAUUUAGCCUUGUUUGGACAUCGAAAUUAAAUAUUUUAUAAUUACACAUUCCAUAUUAAAUUUCCUUAUAUUAUUAGAAAUUUAGAAUUUUAAUUUUCAUGCAUUUCUUAAAAGGUCAUGACGUCUAUAAUUUAAUUAGAUAAUAUAUUAAAAAAUAAUUUAAAAAUAAAAUAUGAUAUCUAUUAUCUAUUCUGGAUGUUUGAUCGCACCUCUUAUCCGUUGAAUAUUUAUGCAUUUGAAUUGAGGAUAAUAGUUUACAAGAAAAGUAUUUUAGAGACUCUUGUAGCUUCUCUACCUUCUGCUUAGGCGGCAUUUGAUUCAGUGUAAAACAAAUCGAGAAAUUAUUUUCGAUAUGAAAAAAUAUUUUUUCAUUUGUCUAUUUCAACCUAAUAAUAUUUUUCCGUAUAAGUAUUUUUACGGAUUUGAAAAAAAAUUGAAAUUUUCAUUUUCCCCUAUUUUCAGCAGAAAAAGAAAAUUAUGCUGUGUAAAAAAUUUUUCAUUUAUUUUUAACACCGAACCUAACAAAUGUGAAUUUUUUUUUUAACCAAACAAAUAUUAAUAAAAAUUAUUAUUAUUAUUUUCUAUAAACUAAACGCUACAAAAUAUUAAAAAAUUUUCCACCAAAAAUAUUCUUUAUAAAAAUUUAUGUUUUCACGAUUUUAUGUUGAACCAAACCAACUUUUACCUUGAAAGGCUUAAAAUAAAUGUGGGGGGGAAUCAAAGACGAUGUGCACGUACGACUUUAAUAAAGAUCACUAAUCACAUAACCAUUUUGGAUCUGGUUUAGUUCGUCAUUCCUGACGUAUGCUAAUUUAAUCCACCGAGAGAAGUACUUUUCUAUUGAUUUUUUUCUUUUUCCUGUCCGUUAUUUUUGAAGGAGAAGUCAGAGAACUCGUCAACUUUGAAUUUUCUGCUUGGAGAAGGAGAAACUAAUUAAUUGUAGUGAUGUCGCCACCACUGUCGUCGGUUAGUCAGUGAACCUCGCAUAUUAAUUUUGAAGUCAUAGUUUUCAUAAUAAAUUCGAGGCAUAAUUAAAAAAAAAAAACUUCAAAUACCAUUCCUACAGUUACACACUUUCUCACUUUAGUAUCAUAUUAUUUAAAGUGUAUCAAUUUAGUGCCAUGUGGUUUAUUUUUAUUUUUUUAUUAUCGAUUUCACUAAUUUUUUUCGUUAAAUUAGUGACAAAGUUAAAACUAAAGAGUACAAAAGUAAAUAUUCGAGAAAUCUAAGUGGGAUAUUGUCACGUCUCGGAUUACUACGUUUUUACGGGCACGUCAACAAACCCGUCGUAUACACAAGAAUUUUCCGUGUAUACGAAACGAUAGCUAUAUCUGCAAACAGAAUAUAACUACAGCAGGAGUACAGAGCUGCUAAAGCUAAGCACAUAUAUAAAAACAUAAUAAGCCCAUGGUACAUACAAUAUCUAAAGUACAACCUCGAUUCUGAAAGUAUAACAAAAUAUAACUGUAUGUACACGGUAACAACCUAAAACUAUCUUUGAAGGGGUACUCCUCUAGCACAGUGAUCAGGGAUGGUAGGAUUUAGCUCGCAACUCCCUUACCACCGUUAGAAUCAACAGCAUCAGCAGGAGACAAGGCUCUGCAAAAAAGUGACAAUAACUGAGUGUGAGAACUACUACAGAACAGAGUAGUUCUCAAUGGGUACCGUCACCGACCCCAACGAUCUACCCACUAAGUUUACAGUAAAGAUAUGCAAAUGCUAGUAAGAUAAGUUGGAAGAAACUCUACAACUACAUGCCUCUAGACUACCGCUAUCCAAACCCUCCCUCUAUAGACAUAAAAAUGCAUCACUAGCUACACACUGAUCUAAUUUCAACGGACCACCAACUGGCCAGUCCAGACUGUACCCAAACUGCACCGCACACAACCCACGGGAGUAGCCGGUCCCAAAAAAACUCUACAGAACAGAGUAGUCCUCAAUGGGUACCGUCACCGACCCCAACGAUCUACCUACUAAGUUUACAGUAAAAAUAUGCAAAUGAUAGUAAGAUAAGUUGGAAGAAACUCUACAACUACAUGCCUCUAGACUACCGCUAUCCAAACCCUCCCUCUAUAGACAUAAAAAUGCAUCACUAGCUACACACUGAUCCAAUUUCAACGGACCGCCAACUAGCCAGUCCAGACUGUACCCAAACUGCACCGCACACAACCCACGGGAGUAGCCGGUCCCAAAAAAACUCUACAGAACAGAGUAGUCCUCAAUGGGUACCGUCACCGACCCCAACGAUCUACCUACUAAGUUUACAGUAAAAAUAUGCAAAUGAUAGUAAGAUAAGUUGGAAGAAACUCUACAACUACAUGCCUCUAGACUACCGCUAUCCAAACCCUCCCUCUAUAGACAUAAAAAUGCAUCACUAGCUACACACUGAUCCAAUUUCAACGGACCGCCAACUAGCCAGUCCAGACUGUACCCAAACUGCACCGCACACAACCCAGGGAGUAGCCGGUCCCAAAAAAACUAUCCAAAUAGGGCUGCUGCGACAUAAACACAAGUAAAGCCUCAUUCCAGAGCGGCACUUGUGGGAGCGACCCAACCGAGUAUACAAGCGUAUCUCUGUCCAGCUCAAUCAGGCUCACACAGGCUAUAGUUAAUGCAAAUGGAUCAAACUAGUCUAACAAUCAAGGCUCACGUGCUCUCGGCACAAUCCAAUACAAGAUGUACACAUCUGGAUCCACCGUCAGCCCCGGCGGCAUCCGACAGUACGGAACAGUCCAAACUACAUUGUCAAAUGAAUUCGGCCCCUCAGCACGAGCGUAAUCUCAAUCUAUACUAAUCUAAGUAUCCACGACGCACUAACAGCGAUGAUACAAUAAAGAAAUUAACUCCUUAAGGUAAAUCUGUUAACAUUUCGAAAGUAGCAGUGUAGAUUUAAUUCGUUUUCUCCUAAGUCAAAUCCCGGCUCAGCAUAUAUAAUUUAUCUAAAAUUCUUAGAUUAUACUCCAAAUUUAGAUUUCAUAUAAAUAUACAAAUCUGUGAAUUCGAGCUACUAAACAUGAUGAUCGAACGAGAAAAUACAUGCUGACAUCUCUACAACUUAGGAGGAAUUCUGACGAUUUUGAAAAACAUUAAUCCAUUUCAAACGCUCGUCCAACACCGGCUAGAAGUCGAUAGGAGAAACCCCACGCUAGCUUGACCUCCAACGAAAAUCCCCCGAGGUGCGUGAACGAUUUUCCACAGACAAGGUGAACGUACUAAGAUCGUUUUUCAAAUUCACAAAGAAAAGGUAAGAGAGCUAGAGAGAGAGGGUGGAGAAGCUACCUGUUUUCUCCAAGCUUCUAACACAAAGAGAGGGGCUGGGGUCGGUUGGAAUUAUCAGCAACAAAAUGACCAAAAAUCUCCUCACCAACCUGGAGUACCGGUACUUAAUUUGGGUACUGGUACUCAGCACUCAGCUUGCAAACCCGCACGCUGGGUAUCGGUACUAGCCCGAUGCAGUACCGGUACUCAAUCCCGGUACCGAUACUCACCAACAGAUACCAGUACUCAACACAAAAUGCACAAACCCAAGAGCUCCCUUUCAUGUAAUCCCUCUGAGGUACCGGUAUACCUCUUAGUUACCGGUACACAACACUCAAAAUUCUGUUUUUGCAGAUUUCAGUGUUCGAACUCCAACUCUCACAGCUCUGAGUCCGUUUUCGCGUCUAUUUUGCGCCAAAACGCCUCUGACGUCCCGACAUUCUACAAAUGUAUCGACAAGCCACUGAUGCUGCAGUCAGUCCGACAGCUAAAUCCCAGAGACACUACAGGUAUCUGAAGAUUUUUGUAUAUAAUUUAAUGAAAUAUUAACAGAAAAGCUAACAAAAAGAUAAAAAUGAAACCACAUAAUACUAACUUGAUACACUUUAAACCACAAGGCACUAAAGUGAGAAAGUGCAAAACCACCGGGGUGAUAUUUGAAGUUUAUCCAUAAUUUUAUAAGCCUUUCUUAUCCUUUGGGCCGACUUGGCUCGCAUUGGCAAUACUAAUUAUCUUAAUAUAAUUAGUAAUUUUAUAUUGAAAACUACUAAUUUUAGUUUUGUGAUUCAAAUUACUAUUAAUACUGCAUUAUUUCGUUUGGAUCAGUACAGUAAUGUAAUGGCAAAUUACUGUGUAUGUAAAAUUAUAUUAUUUGAUUUAAUAUAUAUAUCGGUAAUCCUGAUAGCAAAAUUUGUACUAUUCCAACAAUAUCCUCUUAUACACAAAUUUAUUUAAAAUUUGAAUAUAAAAUUUGUAUUUACGUUUAAACUUAAAUUCAGAUGUGAGUCAAAAACUUAUUUUAUUACAAAUUUUGGCUUAAAAUUCAUAUUGUGUGACAAUCAAGUUGUACAAUCUAAUUAAUUAAAUUAAAUAAAUGAUUUUGUAUCAAUGUGGUGAGAGCGUUAUGGUUGAUAACGUGACAAUAACUAAAAUAUCAUAUCACUAUCAUAUUAGCAACAUAUUGGCAUUUAAUUAAUUGAAUGAAUUGUAUAGUGUAACUUAGUUAUAACAAUUUUAAAAGUUUGAAUAACAAAUAAUAAUAAAUUAAAAUUUAAGGACCAUUCUAACAUUUGCAAACUUCUUUUGGAUUUUUAGCAUUGAAAAAAAGAUUAGUGAGACUAAUAGGAAGAUAAUAGCUUUAGAUAAAAUAAAUGUAAGAGUUACAUUCUAUAAAUAGAUAUACAUGUAGUAUUGAUCAAAUUAAUCAGUAUUUCGGUGAUAAAAAAAUGAAGUUGAUUUGCACGAUUUUCAAAGAUUAUUAAUAUAAAUGAGUCGGCUAUAUUAUCAUACUUUUCCUUUUUAAGGAUUGCUUGAUAUUGUCAUUGGUGAUGUGUGCUAAUUUGUUCAUUAAUCAUCUCCUAUAUUUUAGACUAGAAUCAGAAUUUCUUAGUAAAAAUUGAGUCUUUAUUUGGAAAAGGAGUAAAAUGAAAGGUAAAACUAAAGCAUUUACCCCUAUGAAAAGGAAAAAAACAGCAUUGAAGCAGUAUCGGAAAUAGCCAAAAUUUCUUUUGGGUAUCUUUCCACAAGAACAAAUUCAGAUAUUCUCUGACUCAGUACUAAUUACUAAAGCGAUCCACUUUAGAUCUGACCAAUUUAAAUCGAUCACUUAAUUGGAAUACUAGAACGAAGCUCAAAAUGCUUCGGUCCUUUGCUGACAAACGUCACGCUUUCUCUUUUAGAUGGAAUUCUCGCUUCUCUAAAAAUGCUAUGCAAACUGAUCAACUAGCUAAUAAAGAACUACCUAGCAAAAAAUGUACUGUGUAAAUCCCUUUUGAGGAUUUUUCCAACUCUGUAUCGUCACAUUUUAUUUAAAUAAAUUUUCACUCUUGAGCGAUUUUUCUGGAAAAAAAAAAAGAAAAGAAAAAAAAAACAAAGCAUUUGAAAUGAAGUCGGUAAGGGAAUGGGACCAUACAGGAAUACUAAGGUUGCAAUUAUCCAGUACGCUGAUGAUUCUAUCUUUUUUUGCGAGGCUAAGCGGAGCCAAAUAAGAAACCUUUUAUUUAUGUGACAAAUCUUCGAAUGGGCUUCUAGUUUAAAGAUUAAUAAAAGCAAGUCUGAGCUUUUUACCUAGGGAGGACUGAAGGGAAGGUCAAAAGAUUGGCUGACAUCCUUGGCUGUAACUUACGGUCCCUCCCGAUUCGUUAUCUGCGGCUUCCUCUCUCAAAUAGAAGUCUCUGAAGGGAAGAUUGGUGGUCCAUCAUAGGUAAAGUCGAGAAAUGAAUUGAAAGGUGGCAGGCUAAACUCCUUUCUCAAGGCGGUAGAUUAGUGUUGGUGAACUUGGUGCUCGCAAACCUGCCAUUAUACUUCCUCUCAGUGUUCCGUGCACCCAGAUGGGCUCUUCGAUGUAUUGAAGCCUUACAGCGGGCCUAUUCUGGAAGGGAGGAUCCGUCAUCGCGGGUGGUAACUAUCUCUUGCAGUGGAAAGCGGUUUGCAGGAGCAAAAAAAGGGCGGUCUAGGAAUUAAGAACUUGAAUGAUAUGAACAUAGGUCUUUUGGCAAAAUGGUGGUGGAGAUUCCUCUCGAAUUCAAGCCAUCAAUGGGGCAACCUUCUUAAAGCCCUAUACUACUCUGGGAGGAGAGAGCUGAGGGAAGGAUCAUCUUUCAGACCACACUCCCAGUGGUGGCGAAACGUUCUAGGAACUAAAAAUAUCUUCAAAUGUAGUAUCUUUUACUCUAUUGAGGAUAACUGAAGUAUGAAUUUCUGGACGGACAUUUGGAGCGAUCAAGCCCCCUCGAGUUCCAUAUUCUCCCACAUCUUUACGGACAUAGCACAUAAAAGCUGCCAAGUGAAUGAAUGCAACGACGAGACUGGGUGGAAGUGGGAAGUUAUCCUUGAGGACUUCAACCCAAAGAUGACAUCUGAUAGAGAAUCGGUACGAGAACUGAAAGAAGUGUUGUCUACCCUCACUUUGAAUAGCAGUAAGGACAAGGUUAGGUGGAGAUGGGCCCCAUCGGGAGUGUUUUCUGUCAAGUUUUUCUAUAACUUCUUGCAGGUGGGCUUCACACAGCUAUGGAACUCUGCAUCCCUUUGAAAGUAAAAAUAUUUGUAUGGCUAGUUUUGAAAAGUAAGAUACUUACGAUCGACAAUCUACAUAAAAGAAGUUGGCUGGGAGAGCAGGACUAUGUUCUCUGCUUAGACACGGAAGAAACGAUCGACCAUUUUUUUGCCAUGUGUGAAAUGACUAGGAUCUUAUUGGAGUGUUUGAUGUCCAAUAAAAAGGGAACACUAUGCCACACUUUAGUUUACACUUUCUGGGAGACGAGUUGACUUACAGGAGGCGCAAUACGUACGUGCGAAGGAACUAAAGACAAUUGCCUGCAUAUGGUGGGUAAUCUGGCUCGAACGGAACAGACGUAUCCUCCAAAAGAAAAAACUUGCGCUAAAGAAGAUGUUAACAGACGUCCAUAUGGUGCGGGAACAGUCAGGUAGAUUUGGUGUAACGUAAAUAUUCCUCCUAACGGCCUCCAGCAACGCGGUUUCUCUUCAAGUGGUGAGGCCUUUCUUCAUCCUUCUUUCCUCUUGUACUAUGGGAGGGAUCCUUCUUCUCCCCUUUCUAUUUUUCCUUACCUGUGUUUUCUUUUUCUCCUUUUCCCCUUCGAUUUACUAAGGAUCUAGCAGCCUCACUCUGUAGCCAAGUUCAUUAUCUAACUGAAUGAAGCGGUAGCAUGCUACCAUUCUCUCAAAAAAAUGAAAAAAAAGCUAAAUUACACCUGUGCAAUUUUAGAUACUCAUUGUUUUUAGCAUUGUUAAAUGAGAUGGAAGGAAAUAAGAAGAAAAAUAGUCUCAUUCUUGGUUUCAAUGAUGAACUGAACGAAAAUUAGACAUAAGGAAAUAAAGAUGGGAUCAGAUGGAGCCGCGUCUCCUUGCACUACCAAAUCAAUAAUAAUUAAUUCACAACCUGCUAAUUAAAUUUUUUUUUUUAGAGUGAAAGGUUGCAUGCUAUUCGUUUUGUUCGUUUUUUUAUAAAUAAAAUUAAUUAAAAAUAUAAAAUAAUUAGACUUCGAACUUGACAUAUGAAAUACCAACUAUCAACUCUUCUACUAGCUGCUAACUCAAAUGUAAUUGGCAUCUUUCCCACAUUUUAAUAUUUUCCUUUUGAAAUGCAUUGGGGUCUAUACACCAUAAGAAAUUAAAAAGCAAUACACAAAGGGUAAACUUCAAAUACCAUCUCUGUGGUUUCGCACUUUUUUCAUUUUAGUACCAUGUGGUUUAAAGUAUAUCAAUUUAGUAUUCUAUAGUUUUUUCUUCUUUUUUUUUUUUGUCAGCUCCUCCAUUAACAUUUUGUUAAAUUAUAUACAAAAAAUUUCAGAUAUCCAUCUAGAUUUAUCAAAUAUUCACUUUAAUAUCUUUUAGUUUUAACUUUAUCAUGAUUUAACGAAAAAAAAUAAAAAAAGGGGAUAAUAAAAAUAAAAAAAUUAAAACCACAAGUUACUAAAUUGAUACACUUUAAAUCACAUAGUACUAAAAUAAAAAAGUAUAAAACCACAGGAGUGAUAUUUAAAGUUUUUCCAUACACAAAUGCAUACUACACAUUCCUACAGACACCACUUGGUUUACUUUUUACAACUGUGAAGCUGAUCGUCAAGCUCUCAUUUAUUCAUUUUCUAAACACUUUCGUUUUAUUUGCGACAAAUUUCCAGGCAACAAUAUUUGAAUACUAAAUCAAUUGAUCGAGGUAUUAGCGUUCCAGAUGGCCUGGAGCACCUUCGCAAACUCUACCAGCUUGUCGACUUCUGGGAUCAGUUCCUUCACGAUCGCGAGAGAGUAGAACCGCUCUGCCCAUUCAGCUAAGAGAGGAAACUUCGCCCCGUCAAUGAGUUUGAUAUCCGAUAUCUUCUCUAUCGCCUUCACCCAGCCCAAAAAGCUCCCAAGAACAAUGUCGAGGUAGCCCACAUUAUCUCCACCGAAGAAGGGCUUUUCUUUGUAGCUUUUCUCAUAAGCCUCUUCUAGUAAAGUAAGUCCUGCGAACGAUUGUUCUACAGCUUCUGCUUUCUCUUUUUCUGUCUUUGCUUUUAUAAUCUCUCUUGUGAUGGGAAACCACUGCAUUCAAAGAGAAGUGGGGAUAUGGAAGAAAACUUCAUAAAACUUUUCGAUUUAUUGCAAUAUCAAAAAAAGCCUUUUUGCUUAAAAUAUUUAUUGAUUAUUGAUUUUGGACCUUUAUAAAUCUAAUACACUUUUUAGGAUUUUCCAGAUUUGAUUUUUUUUCAAAAAAAUAACCAAACUAUACUGUUUUACUUUUCAAAAUAUUUAAUGCGUAUACCUUUUAUAUAUUAUUUGUACUUUUCAAAAUAUUUAAUGUGUAUGACUUUUAUACAAUUUGAAGGAGACAUAGUUUGGCCAUGUAUUUGAAAAGAUGGACCGAAUAUGUAAAAUCUUAAAAAAUUGAUCAGAUUUGCAAAAGUACAAAAUCCAUAAAUUCUUUAUAUAUACCAAAAAAAGACCAUCAAACAAGAACCAACAUUCUAAAAAAGUUAGAAAUAUUGAAAUAUUAUACACCGCUACUCAAAAUUCUAUAAUUGAGACUUAAAUUCAAAAUCCUUCCAAAUCCGAGGCCGUGCCUUAUUAUUAGAUCCCAAUGGCGUGGCUAUUCGAAGUAGCAAAUCAUGUAGAUCUUAACGCUCGACGUGAUUGAAACAAUUUUUGCUGAAGUAAAAGUAGGAGCAAACAAAAUUACAAGCCUAGAAUAACAUACCUUGUCAUCUAUAUAGCCAGCCCAAAAGCGCGCGAUGGCGCGAUCAUAUGGAUCAGGCGGAAGCAACGAGGGCCCAGUUCCGGCCCAAACUUCGUCAAUGUACUGCAGGAUGAUCGCGGACUCGCAAAUGGGCCGAUUCUUGUGGAUCAAAACUGGCACCUUCUUGUACACAGGGUUAGAUUUGAGGAGGAGCUCACUCUUAUUUUCCAAAAGUUGUUGCUCCAGAUAUUCGUAGCUCACCCCCUUGAGUUCUAAAGCAAUUUUCACUCUAAGUACGUAGGGGCUCGGCCAUGCUCCGAGGAGCUUCACUUCAUCUCCUGACCCUGCCAUAUUAUAUGGGAAAUUGUUUCCCUACAAGAUAGAAAAGUUAAUUAAGUAAACAAUAUUAUAGAGGUGCAUGUGCAGCGAAUUUGCUGUGGAUUCUGGGGCUUGUGUUGAUGUGGGUAUUUAUAGAGAUAAAGAGAGGUGUUAAAUGAGUGGUUGGAUAGGUGAGGUUGUGUGGUGUAUGACAUUUGUGGAGCUUGGCAAAGAGAAAUGUUAAUUAUACAAUUCAAAAGUUUGAUAUAAAACUUAUAAUUUUUCGUCUAAGAGUACAAACACUAGUAUGAAAAAAAAUAAUUCUUUAACAAAGAGAGUGGAACAUUUUAAUAGCUAAAGGAAACGAAAGCAAAAGUGAUUAUUUAAUAGUGGCGAGCGAAAUAGGGGCAAUGUAAACGAUAAAAAUGGAGUUGUAGGAGAGUAAUACAAGCAUCGUGCUGUUAGGCGAAGCGGUAGAGUACUGCAACUUAGAUGGUUAGAAUCUAGUUGCUCCUUAUUGAACGGGCGCCAUAAGUAAUUAUAGAAAAAUAAUUUGGGUGUUAAUUUCUUUAAUGAGUCUAAGAGGUAAAAUAUUGUCAAUUUUUAAAUUUUUUUAUCAAAACUUUUUUUAUAAAAUUUAAUGUUUAGAAACCAGAUUAGGGUGUCGUUAUUAUGAGUCAACUAUUUUUCGGGUCAAAGUAUGCUUGUGUACUUUUCCAUUUAGGAUUUGCUCUUGUUUCGUCACUGCUGUUGUAUGCUAAUUUGUCAUUAAUUGGUCCAGCAGAAGAAAAUAUUACUUCGAAUAAAUUACACCACCAGGCCCCAAACUUUGAGUUAGAUUUCACUUUAGUUUUUAUCUGAGAUUAAAAAUUAUUGCUCAUAUCUAAUUCAACUAUUUUUUCGUAUUAUAAACUUAUCACUUUUACAUCCAUCUCAUAUUUUUAAUUUAAAAAUAUAAUUUUUAAAUAAAAAAUAAUAACUAGAUAUGUGGUAUGAUUGAAAUAUGAGAUGAAGAAAUAUUAGAUAAACACGAGAUAUGUAACUGUUAAAACACACGGGUUGUCCAUUAUCUUUAAUAGUAAAUAUAUAUAUAUAUAUAUAUAUAUAUAUAAAAACUAAAGUGAAAUUCUUUUAAAGGUUUAGUAAUUAGUAUAACAUCAAAAUUGAAAGUUUGAGAAGGAAAAUAAAAUUUGGCUGAAAAUUUAAUUAUGGACCGAAUGUUUGAGACUAAAGUAAAUGGCUGAGAAUUUAGGACUAAUGGUGCAAUUCACUCAAUAUUUUUUCUCGUGAUUUUUUUUCUUUUUCAUUUUUUUUUUUUUAUUUCGGUGGUCGGGGUGGGGAGGGGACUUUUCUAUUGCGCUCUGCUUGCAGAAGAAGAUUAUGACUUGUUGCUGCAUUGAUGUCGUCACUGCUGUCGGUGGCCAGUCAACCAUGCCCUUUUGAUAAUUGAAUGGGUGAUACAUAUCUUAAAACAAUAUUAGCCCAAACAUUUUGGGACAAAUUGGUAACUUAUAUUACUUUUCGAAUGGGGUAAACUUUAAAUUAUUCAUAUUGAUACAGCGUAAUUUUUACUUUACUCAAUGAUUUAAAAAGCUACAUUUUCCUUAAAAAAAAAAAAAAAAUUUACUAAGCUAUAAUUUGCAUUUUCAGUGGUUUUAGCUCAAUUUUAUUUUGCCACUCUGUGUGGUUUAGAGAAUUACACUUAACUAUCUUGUAAUUUAGCAUAUUUUUACUUUUGCAUUAUGUGAUUUUUCAAAAAUUUUUAUUUUGCCACCCUCUUUGAUAUAAAUUUUUUUUUAUAAAAUAAAAAAUUUUAAUCAUAAGAGGACAAAGUGUAAUUUUUUAAAUCACCACAUGGCAACAUGAAAUAGGUUUUUUUUUUUUUGGGAAAACUUCAAAAGCCCCCCAUGGUUUCACACUUUCUCACUUGAGUGCCCUGUGGUUUAAAAUGUAUCAAUUUGGUGCCAUGUGGCUUCAUUUUUAUUUUUUUAUUAUCAAUUUUACUAAUUUUUUUUUUUUUAAAUCAGUGACAAAGUUAAAACUAAAGGAUACUAAAGUGAAUAUUCGAUAAAUCUAGGUGAGUAUUUGAAGUUUUUUAUAUAUAAUUUAAAUAUUAACGAAAAAGCUAUAGAAAAGAUAAAAAUGAAAUCACGGGUUACCAAAUUGAUAUACUUUAAACCACAGUGCACUCAAGUGAGAAAGUGCAAAACCACAGGGAGGGUUUUUGAAGUUUUUUCUUUUUUUCUUUUUGAGUACAAUGACUUGGUUGGCCCCGUUUGAUACUACAUGAGUUCUACAGUUCUAAUUAUGAGGACAAUUUUUUAACCGUUUAUUAUCAAAUCAAAAUUUUUGAAUAAUGUAACAUCAGAUCGACUCCGUUCUAUGUUUCCUCCAUUUCAAAAGAUUCCGAGGUUGAUUUCUUAAAAAUUAAUUUAUUCGAUGUUGGACGCUGCCAGUGUGAUUUAUGCAAAACGAUUUUGAGUGAUACAGCCGAUUCAACAUGAUUUAUGCAAGACGAUUUCGAAAAAUACAAUCGAUUCAACAGUUGGAAUGUAUUUGAACACCGUUCUGAAUAGAUGGACGGUAUUGAACAUCUUUUUAUUAUAUAUAUAUGGAGGGGGUGGUGGUGGGGUUUGUCAAAGAGUUCUACUUGGACUACUGUCGAUAGUAAACGGCUUAACUUACUACCGAUUUUGUUUGCAAUAAUAAAGCUUCCAAAUAAACAACCGGCACUAUUGAACAUAAUUUAGACCAUUUAAACUAUCUAAAAAUUAUAUUUCAUCCUUUUCUAAUUUUGUUCUCUUAUUCAUCAAGUAAACAGAAAAUAAAUGGCUGAAAAUAAAUAUCCUUCAAAAAAUUAUGAUACAAUUUUUGCUUUUAAGAUCUUGAGUCUAAAUCUUGUUUUAAAUAAUUAUAAAAAUUUACAAAUAAAAAUUCAACUGAUUUGAACAUUUUAUGCCGUUAAGCUAGCAAACGCACAACAUUGACCCUUAAAAUUACAAACUUUUUUGACCUUUUGAUUGUUUUGUGAUAUCGAAAAAACAUGAAUUAGAUUGUAAGACUUAAAUAUAGCGAUCUAACAAAUUUAAAUAAAUAAUUAUAACAAAUUAUAAGUAAGGUCACCCAUUCUAUGAUUACUCUAAUUCUAGCACAUUUAACUCUUUUAAUAUUUUGGAUCUAACCAUCGCCCAAAUGUUAUAGUCGGAUUAAAAGAUUUAGCCUUAUUAUAUCUCAUAUAUAUAACUAUUUGUCUAUUUCUAACCCAGAAUAUCACAUUUCUUCGGCCCCUAAGCCCUGCCCUCGUAAGGCUCAAGCAUACUCACAAAUACCAGUCAAUAUGAGACUCGCCUCGCUAGUUUUAGCCGAUCCUAUGGUAGCCGCACUCCACCUACAACGGGUCAUCAUUAGGGGAGCUACGCUCUAUCCACUGUAUAAUUCUGGCUCAGUCGAGACUUAUCUCAUAUUUUCAGUUGGUGCUUAGAUUUGAAACCAAUUGGAAUACCCUACUUUCCAGAGAGUCAUCCAUCGUAGGACUACUUUAAUCCUAACAUGCUUAACUCUUUUAAUGUCUUGAACUUAACCACCAAACAAAGUACCAUAAUUAGAUUAAGAGAUUUAACUCUAUUGUAUAUCAUUUAUAGAAUUAUUUCAAAUUCCGAAGAAUUGUCACAUAAAAUUUGAAGAUAAUAUUAUCACUCGCCUCAUGGUCAUAUUCUAGUGAUCGCAGUUGCCCUCUUUAAUAUUGCCAAAAUAAGUUAUAUCUCUCUUUCCGUACCAUAACAUUGAAAAUAUACACGGAGAAUGAAAUUGAUUUGCACUAUUUUCAAAGAUCACUAAUCAUACUUUUCCUUUUAUUAGGGUUUUGCUUGAUUGUGUCAUUGCUGUUGUGUGCUCAUUUGUUCGUUAAUUAUCUCACAAAUUUUAAACGAGAAUCUACACUUUGUGUGCAUGGUGGUUUCUUAGUUUUUUUUUUUUUAAAAGUCAUUACUUGAAAUAAGAGUGAAAUUCAAGGUGCAGUUAAAUCAUCUGCCCUUUUGAAAGUAAAAAAAAAAAUUAAAAAAAAAAACAUUUGAACAUGAGGGGUGAUUUUUAUUAGAAGUUAUUGAACUCUUUUUUGCACUUACAGUUCAAAUAUAAGCUGUUAUUAGAUUUGCUCUGUCUCUCGUAUUAGAUGCUCAUUAUUUUUACUUUUGUUAGAUGAGAAGGAAGGAAAUAAAAAUAAAAAUAUUGUCCCAUUCUUGUUUCCAGAACUGAACAAAUAUUAAACAUGAGGAAAUUAAGAUGGGAUAUGAUCAAGCCGAGUUUUUUAUUAGGUUUAAUUUGUUAACCUCAGAUCUAGAGUCAAGUUUUCUUUUUUUUUCAAAAAAAACUCCAAUUACAAACUAGAACUAAUAUAGUAAACGAUAUUAGGAUUUUUUUUUUUUUCACUACCAAAUCAAUGACAAUUAAUUCAUAACCUGCUAAUUGAAAUAUUUUUUUGCCACGUGUGAAAUGACUAGGAUCUUAUUGGGGUGUCUGAUGUGCAAUAAGAAGGGAACACUAUGCCACACUUCAGUUUACACUCUCUGGGAGAUGAGUCGACUUACAGGAGACACAAUACGUGCGAAGGAACUAAAGACAAUUGCCUGCAUCUGGUAGGUAAUUUAGCUCAAACGGAACAGACGUAUCUUUCAAAAGAAAAAACAUUCGCUAAAGCAGAUGUUAAUAGACGUCCGUAUGGUGCGGGAUCAGUCAAGUAGAUUUGGUAUAACGUAAAUAUUCCUCUUGACGGCCUCCAGUAGCGCGGUUUCUCUUCAGGUGGCAAGGCUUUUCUUCGUCCUUCUUUCCACUUGUACUAUGGGAGGGAUCCUUCUUCUCCUCCUUCUGUUUUUCCUUCCAUGUGUUUUCUUUUUCUCCUUUUCCCCUUCAAAUUUACUAGAGACCUGGCAGUCUCUCUCGGUAGUCAAAUUCAUUAUCUAAAUGAAUGAAGUGAUAGCAUACUACCAUUCUCUCAAAAAAAAAAAAAAAAAAACUAAAUUACACCUGUGCACUUUUAGAUACUUAUUGUUUUUAGCAUUGUUAAAUGAGUAAGAAGAAAAAUAGUCUCAUUCUUGUUUUCAGUGAUGAACGGACUGAAAAUUAGACAUGAGAAGAUUAAGAUGGGAUAGAAUCGAGCCGCGUCUCCUUGCACUACCAAAUCAAUAACAAUUAAUUCAUAACCUGCUAAUUAAAAUAUAAUUUUUUUUUAGAGUGAAAGGUUGCAUGAUAUUUAUUUUGUUUAUUUUUUUAUAAAUAAAUUUAAUUAAAAAUAUAAAAUAAUUAGACUUUGAACUUGGCAUAUAGAAUACCAACUAUCAAUCUUCUACCCGCUGUUAACUCAACUGUAGUUGGCAUCUUUCCCACAUUUUAAUAUUUUUCUUUUGAAAUGCAUUGGGGUCUAUACACCGUAAGAAAUUACAAAGCAAUGCACAAAGGGUAAACUUCAAAUAGCUUCUUCGUGGUUUCGCACUUUUUCACUUUAGUACCAUAUGGUUUAAAGUGUAACAAUUUAGUACCCUGUGGUUUUAUUUUUCUUUUUUUGUCAGUUCCUCCAUUAAUAUUUUAUUAAAUUGUAUACAAAAAAUUUUAGAUACUACAUCUAGGUUUAUCGAAUAUUUAUUUUAAUAUCUUUUAGUUUUAACUUUAUCAUGAUUUAGCGAAAAAAAUUAGUGAAAGGAGAUAAUAAAAAGAGAAAAAUGAAACCAUAAUGUACUAAAUUGAUACACUUUAAAUUACAGGAUACUAAAAUAAAAAAGUAUAAAACUACAAAAGUGAUAUUUAAAGUUUUUCCGUACACAAAUGCAUACUACACGUUACUACAGACACCACUUGGUUUACUUUUUACUACUGUGCAGCUGAUCAUCAAGCUCUCAUUUAUUCAUUUUCUAAACACUUUCAUUUUAUUUGCGACAAAUUUCUAGGCAACAAUAUUUGGUACUAAAUCAAUUGAUCGAGGUAUUAGCAUUCCAGAUGGCCUGGAGCUCCUUCAAAAACUCUACCAGCUUGUCGACUUCUGGGAUCAGUUCCUUCACGAUCGCGACAGAGCAGAACCGCUCCGCCCAUUCAGCUAAGAGAGGAAACUUCGUCCUGUCAAUGAGUUUCAUAUCCAAUAUCUUCUCUAUCGCCUUCACCCACCCCAAAAAGCUCCCGAGAACAAUGUCGAGGUAGCCCACACUAUCUCCGCCGAAGAAAGGCUUUUCUUUGAAGCUUUUCUCAUAAGCCUCUUCUAGUAAAGUAAGUCCUGCGAACGAUUGUUCUACAGGUUCUGCUUUAUCUUUUUCUGUCUUUGCUUCUAUAAUCUCUGCUUUUGUAAUAUCUCUUGUGACGGGAAACCACUGCAUUUAAAGAGAAGUGGGUAUACGGAAGAAAACUUCAUAAAACUUUUCAAUUUAUUGCAAUAUCAAAAAAAGCCUUUUCGCUUAAAAUAUUUAUUGAUUUUGCACCUUUAUAUAUCUAAUCCACUUUUUAGGAUUUUUCAGAUUUGAUCUUUUUUUAAAAAAAUAACCAAACUAUACCAUUGUACUUUUCAAAAUAUUUAAUGUGUAUACCUUUUAUAUAUCAUUUGUACUUCUCAAAAUAUUUAAUGUCUAUAACUUUUAUACAAUUUGAAGGAGGGAUAGUUUGGCCAUGUUUUUGAAAAGACAAGCCAAAUAUGUAAAAUCUUAAAAAGUUGAUCAGAUUGAUUUGCAAAAAUGCAAAAUUUAUAAAUUCUUUUAUACCAAAAAAAGACUUUCAAACAAUAACCAACAUUCUAAAAAAGUUAGAAUUGAAAUAUUAUACACCACUAUUCAAAAUUCUGUAAUUGAGACUUAAAUUCAAAAUCCUUCCAAAUCCGAGGCCGUGCCUUAUUAUUAGAUCCCAAUGGCUUAGCUAUUAGAGGUAGCAAAUCAUGUAGAUCUUAUUGUUCUACGUGAUCGAAGCAAUUUUUGCUGAAGCAAAAGUAGGAGCAAACAAAAUUCCAAGCUUAGAAUAACAUACCUUGUCAUCUAUAUAGCCGGCCCAAAAGUGCGCGAUGGCGCGAUCGUAUGGAUCAGAUGGAAGCAACGAGGGCCCAGUUCCGGCCCAAACUUCGUCGAUGUAUUGGAGGAUGAUCGCGGAUUCGCAAAUUGGCCGAUCCUUGUGGAUCAAAACUGGCACCUUCUUGUACACUGGAUUGGAUUUGAGGAGGAGCUCACUCUUAUUUUCCCAAAUCUCUUGCUCCAGAUACUCGUAGCUAACCCCCUUGAGUUCUAAAGCAAUUUGUACUCUAAGAACGAAGGGGCUGGGCCAUGCUCCAAGGAGCUUCACUUCAUCUCCUGACCCUGCCAUAUUAUGUGGGAAAUAGUUUCCCCUACAAGAUAGAAGAGUUAAUUAAGUAAACAAUAUUAUAGAGGUGGGCAACGAAUUUGCUGUGGAUUCUGGAGCUUGUGUUGAUGUGGGUAUUUAUAGAGAUAAGAGAGGUGUGAAAUGAGUGGUUGGGUAGGUUAGGUUGUAUGACGUUGUGGGGGUUUGGCGAACAGAAAUGUUAUUUGUACAUUCAGGUACCGUUUGAGUCGGAUAUAAAUAAGAACUAGCUAUUAUAGGAAUAGAUACAAGUAUAGGAUAAGCAAAAUAGCGUUUGGAUAAAAAUUGAAUUAUUUCCGGGAAUAAGAAAAAUAACGUUUGAAUAGAUAAUAUGGAAUAAGAAAAAUAGUGAAUAGUUAUAUAUAGAAAAUUGAAGUAUUAGUAAGAAUAAUUAUACCGGUUUAUUUCAGAGACCCGAGAACCACUAUUCUCAGAUAGUAAAUAUAGAUAUAGAUGUAGAUAUAAAUUAUUUAAAAAUUUUUGAAAAGAUAUAUCAUUAAUAUUUUUAAUUCUUUUUUCUAAUUUUCUACCCGUCGCAUCGCACGGGUUACUACACUAUUAGUCAUUAAUUGAUCCAGCAGAAGAAAAUAUUACUUGAAUAAAGAAAAUAUUACUUGAAUAAAUUACAUUACUAGGCCCCAAACUUUUGAGUUAGCACUUUAGUUUUUAUCUGAGAUUAAAAAUUAUUGCUCAUUUCUAAUUCAACUAUUUAUUCGUACUAUAAACUUAUCACUUUUUCAUCCAUCUCAUAUUUUUAAUUUAAAAAUCUAAUUUUUAAAUUAAAAAUAAUAACUAGAUAUAUGGUACGAUUGAAACAUGAGAUGAAGAAAUAUUAGAUAAACACGGGAUGUGUAACUGUUAAAAUACACAUGCUGUCGAUUCUCUUUAUAUAUAUAUAUAUAUAUAUAUAUAUAGAGAGAGAGAGAGAGAGAGAGAGUUGAGCUAGAAUAUUCUCAAAAGCACGAAGGGGUGGUGCUUUUGAGUUUUUAACCAUUAGAUUGAGAGAUGUAGGAUUGAGAUGAUGGUGGUAGGUGAUUGUAGGUGAUGGUAGAUAGAAUAGUGUUUGACCCAAGAGGUAUUAGUAAUGAAGGAAUAGAUUCAAGGAUUAUAAACUUAGAAGCACCAAGGGGUUGUGCUUCUAAAGAUAUUCUAGCUUAAUUUUAUAUAUAUAUAUAUAGCCCGGCUACUAUACUAUUAUAAAUACAUACAAUCAUCGCUUUCGUACUCAUAAGUUAUUUUCGAUGAUAGAGCUUCCGAAUCGACGAUCCAUACUGUUAAACAUUAUCUAGAGCAUUUAAAACUUCUAAAAAUCAAAUUUUAUAAUUUUUCGAUAUCAUUUACCUUACGAUCAAAAGCUGACAAAAUUGAAAAUUUUUAACGACCGGUAUGGGAUACUUGCUAGUUUAAUGGUGUAAAAGAAUAGAAAUAGGUUGAAUUUUUGAUAGAAAAUUCUAUUCACUACCUAAAUAAAGGUGAAUAACUCCGAUCUUAAAUUGAAGGGCCCGAUCAUCCAUUUUUAGGAUGUCGUUCGAUUUUGACCAUUCAUUUUAUACACGCUUGAUAGACUUUAUGAUAAUUUAGAAAAAUUACGAAAUAUAUUUUCUAAAAGUUUCAAAUACUCUAAAUCAUAUUUAACGGUGUGAAUCGUCCAUUCGAAAGCCCUAACAUAAAAAAUAACUUAUGAGUACGAAAGGCUCUAUACUUAUAAGAGUAUAGUAACCCUACUUUAUAUAUAUAUAUAUAUAUAUAUAGAGAGAGAGAGAGAGAGAGAGAGAGAGAGAGUUGAGCUAGAAUACUCUCAAAAACACCAUGAAGAUGGAGCUUUUGAGUUUUUAAACAUUGGAUGAAGAGAUAUGAGGUUGAGAUGAUGGUGGUAGGUGGUGGUAGUUGAAAUAGUGUUUGAUCCAAAGGCUAUUAGUAAUCAAGGAGUAGAUCCAAGAGCUAGAAACUUAGAAGCACGAAGGGGUCAAUGUGAGGUUCGUCUCACUAGUUUUAGCCGACCUUAUGAUAGCCGCACUCCACCUAGCUACAAUGGGUCAUCAUCUGGAAAGAUGCGCUCUACCCGCUGUAUAAUUCUGGCUCACCUACAACAGGUCAUCAUCCGGAAAGCUGCGCUCUACUCGCUAUAUAAUUCUGACUCAGUCGAGACUCAUCUCAUACUUUGUACUGGUGAUUAGCUUUGAAAUCAAUUGUAAUACCCAACUAUUCUAAUCCUAUGCCCUUUUGAAAGUAAAAAAAAAAAAUUAAAAAUUAAAAAAAAGAAGCAUUUGGACAUGAAGGGUGAUUUUUAUGAGAAGUUAUUGAACUCUUUUUUGCACUUAUAAUUCAAACAUAAGCUAUUAUUAGAUUUGCUCUGUCUCUCGUAUUUAUCUUACUAUUAUGAAAAAGAAAUUUAUGCUGAAUCACAUCUGUGCACUUUUAGAUGCUUAUUAUUUUUACUUUUGUUAAAUGAGAAAGGAAGGAAAUAAAAGUAAAAAUAUCGUCUCAUUCUUUUUUUCUUCUUUUUUUUUUAAGAGAGAGAUAGAUAGUAUACUACCCGCUUCGUUUAUUUCUUUUAGAAAUAAACUUAGCUAAAAAUGCCAAUCAACUAGAAUUCGAAUUUGGAAACUUGGAUACCAACUAUCAAAUCUUUUGCCACUUGCGUCAGGACCUGACAGUCUCAUUCUUGUUUCCAGUGAUGAACUAAACAAAUAUUAAACAUGAGGAAAUUAAGACGGGAUCUGAUCAAGCCGAGUUUUUUAAUGAGUUUUUUAUUACGUUUAAUUUGUUAACUUCAGAUCCAGAGUCAAGUUUUUUUUUUUUAAAAAAAAAACUCCAAUUACAAACUAGAACCAAUAUAGUAAACCACAUUAGGAUGUUUUUUUUUUUUUUUUUUUUUUUGAAAGCCUUGACCCCAAGGGAUGUCAGAUCCGUCACAAAUACGGAAANAGAGAGAGAGAGAGAGAGAGAGAGAGAGAGAGAGAGAGAGAGAGAGAGAGUGUUGAGCUAGAAUAUUCUUAAAAGCACCAUGAAGAUGGUGCUUUUGAGUUUUUAGACAUUGGAUGAAGAGAUAUGAGGUUGAGAUGAUGGUGGUAGGUGGUGGUAGGUGAAAUAGUGUUUGACCCAAAAGCUAUUAGUAAUCAAGGGGUAGAUCCAAGGGUUAGAAACUUAGAAGCACCAAGGGGUCAAUGUGAGGUUCGUCUCACUAGUUUUAGCCGACCUUAUGACAACCGCACUCCACCUAGCUACAACGGGUCAUCAUUUGGAAAGAUGCGCUCUACCGGCUGUAUAAUUCUGGCUCACCUACAACAGGUCAUCAUCUGGGAAACUGCGCUCUACCCGUUAUAUAAUUCUGGCUCAGUCGAGACUCAUCUCAUACUUUCGACUGGUGAUUAGCUUUGAAAUCAAUUGUAAUACCCAACUACUCUAAUCCUAUGCCCUUUUGAAAGUAAAAAAAAAAAUUUAAAAAUUUAAAAAAAAGAAGCAUUUGCAAAUGAAGGGUGAUUUUUAUGAGAAGUUAUUGAACUCUUUUUUGCACUUAUAGUUCAAACAUAAGCUAUUAUUAGAUUUGCUCUGUCUGUCGUAUUUAUCUUACCAUUAUGAAAAUAAAAAAAAUAUACUGAAUCACAUCUGUGCACUUUUAGAUGCUUAUUAUUUUUACUUUUGUUAAAUGAGAAAGGAAGGAAAUAAAAAUAAAAAUAUUGUCUCAUUCUUUUUUUCUUUUUUUUUAAGAAAGAGAUAGAUAGUAUGCUACCCGCUUCGUUUAUUUCUUUUAGAAAUAAACUUCGCUAAGAAUGCGAAUCAACUAGAAUUCGAACUUGGAAACUCGGAUACCAACUAUCAAGUCCCUUGCCACUUGCGUCCGGGACGUUCUCAUUCUUGUUUCCAGUGAUGAACUAAACAAAUAUUAAACAUGAGGAAUUAAGACGGGAUCCGAUCAAGCCGAGUUUUUUAAUGAGUUUUUUAUUAUGUUUAAUUUGUUAACUUCAGAUCCAAAGUCAAGUUUUUUUUUAAAAAAAAAAAAGAACUCCAAUUACAAACUAGAACCAAUAUAGUAAACCACAUUAGGCUGUUUUUUUUUUUUUUUUCCCGUUCACUACCAAAUCAAUGACAAUUAAUUCAUAAUCUGCUAAUUGAAAUGUUUUUUUUUUUUAGACAAAAGUAGAAUGAUACAUGUUUAGUUUAUUUAUUUUGAAAAUAAAUUUAACUAAAAAUAAAAAAUAAUUAGACUUAAAACUUAGCACAUGGAUCUGAUACCAACCAUCAAGUCAAAAGGCCAUUUAUUUAGUCUGUAAUUGGCAUCUUUCACACUUUCUAAUAUUUUCUUUUUGAAAUGUUUUGGGGUCUUUAUACUGCAAGAAAUUACAUAGCAACACACAAAUGCAUGCCACACAUGCUACAGAUACUACUUGGUCUAUUUUUACUACUAUAUUUGUAGCUGAUCAUCAAACUCCCAUUUAUUCAUUUCCCAAACACUUUGCUUUUAUUCGCAACAUAUUUUCUUGCUAUAAUAUUCGGAUAUUAAAUCAGUUGCCCGAGGUAUUAGCAUUCCGGAUAGCCUGGAGCUCCUUCCAAAACUCUACCAGCUUGUUGGUUUCUGGGGUCAAUUCCUUCACUAUCGUGAUGGCGGAGAAGCGCUGCGCCCAUGCAGCUAAGAGAGGGAAUUUUGUCUCGUCGAUGAGUUUGAUACCUGAUAUCUUCUCUAUCGUCUUCUCCCAGCAUAGGGCGCUCCCAAAAACAAUAUCGAGAUAGCCAACAUUGUCUCCGCCGAAGAAGGGUUUUCCUUUAGAGCUUUUCUCGUAAGCCUCUUCUAAUAAAUUGAGUCCUGUUAAUGAUUGCUCUACAGCUUCUGCUUUCUCUUCUUCCGUCUUUGCUUUCAUAAUCUUUGUCGAAGAAGGAAACCACUGCAUAUAAUUAAACAAAGGUGGGGAUAGUGAAGAAAAUUUCAUAAGACCUUCUUAUUUAUAGCAAUAUCAUGCCUUACCACUGGAUCCAACAGCUUAGUUUCAUGGGUCAAAAUUUAGAUGCUAUAUUUACGCUUUUUUUUUACAAAUCCAAACGCCCUACUCAACCAAAUUAUUGACUCUUGCUGAAGCAGAAGCAAAAAUAGGACCAAACAAAUACCAAGCCUAGAAUAGCAUACCUUUUCAUCAACAUAGCCGGCCCAGAAGCGCGCGACGGCGCGUUCGUAUGGAUCCGAGGGGAGAAUCGAGGGCCCAAUUCCGGCCCAAACUUCGUCGAUGUAUUGGAGGAUGAUCGUGGACUCGCAAAUGGGCCGACCCUUGUGGAUCAAAACCGGCACCUUCUUGUGCACGGGGUUGUAUUUGAGGAGGAGCUCGCUCUUAUUUACCCAGACCUCUUGCUCCAAGUACUCGUAGCUCACCCCCUUGAGCUCCAAAGCAAUUUGUACUCUAUGCACGUAGAGGCUAGGCCAUUCUGCAAGGAGCGUCACUUUAUCUCCUGACCCUGCCAUAUUAUAUGCCGAAUAGUUUUCCUGUAAGAUGGAGAAGAGUUAUGUAAACAAUUAUAUGGAGAUGGGCAACAAAUUUGGCGUGGUUUUGGGGUUUAUGUUGAUGUGGGUAUUUAUAGAGAGGUAUGAGAGGAGUGGUUGGACAUAUAGGUGAGGAAAUGUGUGGACUAUGACUUUGUGGCGGCUUAUUGAAGAAAAAUAUUAUUUGUACAACCAAAAACUUAUUAUUAUCCAAAAAUGUGCAAUAGGCUUCUCCUUAAAUGGGGGCAAAGAGGUGGGCCCAUUUUUUUCCAUUUCUCUCGCUCUCACCUAACACUUUUUCAUUUUUUUUUUUUUUCCUCUCUCAGCACUUUUUUUGGGAUUAAUUUUAGACUAAUUUGCAUAAAAAAUUCACUAAUUUUGAGCUUUUGCAAAAGUUGACCAUAUUUUUUAUUUUUGCAAAUUCGGGCCGAAUUUUUAGAAGGAUAAUCAAACUAUUCUUUUUUCAAAAUACAUAAAAAUUAUAUGCUUUAAAAACCUAGAAAAAUACAACUACUAAGACAUUAAGUGUAAAACUUAUUGAAAAUAACAACUAUUAAGCCAUAAUUAUAUAUACCUUUCUUGUGAAACGAGAAUUCUCAUUCAAAACAAAAUAAAAAGAAUAAAGUAUAAUUAAUAAGAUGAAAAAGUGCAACAUCCUCUCAAAUAGUGCAACAUGCUCUUCCAAAUAGUGCAAUAUUUAUAUAAAUAGUGCAACAUUUGCAUUGUUAAUACACAUUUUGCAUAAUUUUUACACUAAAUUACGUACAGUUUAUAAUAUAAUAUAUUAUAACAUACUAUAAAAAUUAUAUAAUAUAUGUACGAAUCGUGCAAAUUUUACACUAUUUGUACAGAUAUUUACACUAUUUGUGUACAUAUUGUACUAUUAUGAGAGGAUAUUGCACCAUUUAGAUGUGUGUUGCACUUUUUCUUUUUGAAAAUUAAAUUUCAUUGCGUAUUAAAUAAAGUGUCAAAUUUCUUGUAAAUGACAACUGCAAAGCCAUAAUUCUAUAUACCUUUCUCGUGAAACGAAAAACCUCAUUCAAGACAAAAUAAAAAGAAUAAAGAAUAAUUAAUAAGAUGAAAGAGUGCAACAUCCUCUUAAAUAGUGCAACAUGUUUUUCCAAAUAGUGCAAUAUCUGUAUAAAUAGUGUAACAUAUGUAUUAUUAAUAUUCAUUUUACAUGAUUUUUACACUAAAUUACGUACAGUUUAGUAUAUUACGCGAAAAUAAUAUAAUAUAUUAUAAUAUACUAUAAAAAUUAUACAAUAUAAGAGGAUGUUGCACCAUUUAGAUAUGUGUUACACUUUUUUUUUUUAAAAUUAAAUUUUAUUGCAUAUUAAAUAAAGUGUUAAAUUUUUUAGAAAUGACAACUGUUAAACCCUAAUUACAUGUACCUUUUUCGUGAAACGAAAAAUUUCAUUCAAGACAAAAUAAAAAGAAUAAAAAAUAAUUCAGGAUAUGCUUUAACGUUGUGAUGGUAGGUUACGAGUCAAGCAUGCGUGCGUCCUUUUUUAUUCAGGAUCUGCUUUUGUUUCGUCAUUGCUGUUGUGUGCUAAUUUGUCAUUAUUUGGUCAAUUUUAGGAGUAAAAAGUUUUAAAUAAAUGCACUACUAGUCCCCGAACUUUUUGUCAGCUUCCUAAGUAAUCUCUGAAUGGAGUUACAGACGCGUUGACGGACAUUUAAUUUUGACAUUCAAGAUCUUAAAAUUUUUGCUAACAUUUCUAAGUUAGCGCCCAAACUUUUAAAAAUAUUUUAUUUUAGUCCUUAUCAUAGAUAACCCUAAAGUGAGAUAUACAUCCAUUCUGUCUUAAGAUCAUUCUUUUCACAUUAAUUUUUUAAAAUUUUACUAAAAAUUAAUUUAAUUUUUAUCUACUCUUAAAUUAACGGUGUAAGAUAUACAACUUUUCGAGGUGUACAAAAGCAUUUUCCAAAAAAUUAUUGCUUGCACGUAGUUCAUCUGCUUGUUCUUACAUGAUAAAUUUAUUAUUUCUUCAUUCAUCUUAGACUUAUAAUUUAAAAUUUUUGACUUUUUACUUUUACCAAAUUGUAACUCAAUAGGCAAUAUUGAAAUAUGUGAUUGAAAAUAUAGUCGGGAAAUGCAUGAUGCAUACACGUACAGAUGCGGAGAGCGUAGGCAAUUAUUUAUAUAUCUUCUAACAGAAAAUAUAUAUAGAAAUUAAAAUGAAACUCUUUUAAGAAUUUAAGAACCAAUAUUGUCAAAAUUGAAAGUUUGAGCAUCAACGUACAUGUGGCUGAAGAUUCAGAAACCAAUAGCGCAAUUUAUCCAAAUAUUUUUCUAUUAUUAUUUAUUAUUAUUAUUAUUUUGAGAGAGAAGGUUUUGACUAAUGUCGUUAAUGUCACGAUUGCUGUCCGGACAACCUUACCCUACUAAUUUCAAAUUGUUAAUGCCUUAGUUUUGGUGAUAAUAUUUUAUUUUAAAACAUUAUUUGCCCAGAAUUUUGGGCUCAAAUUGAUAAUUUUUAAAUUUAAAAAAAAAAAACAAUGACUUGGAUGGCACUUGGAUGGCCCAAUCGGAUGUUACCUUAGCUCUACAUUAUAGUCAAUAUUUUAAAAUUUUAGUAGGAUAAGGAUUCGAAAAUAUUAUUGAUUGCUGGUCCAAUCAGUGGGCUAACCACUCGUUGAACGAGUGAAAUUGUUAUAAAUAUUUAAUUAUUAUUUUAAUUUUAUUAUAUAAAUAAUAUAAUAUAUUAUUAUUUUAAUAUCGUACUUAAUUAUUAUAAAAAAAUUAAUUUUUAAAUUAAAUUAAGUAGAUAUAAAAUUUUAAAUUUUACAUUUUAGAUAAUUAAUUUGUACUGAUAAAAAAUAAAAUUAGCUGAGUUAAUUUUAAAUUCUAAAGUUUUAAUGUAAUUUGAUGAAAAAAUUUAGCUGGUUUAAUAAAAACAAGACUACUCACGGGUUCAAUCGAAUCGCUAGUUCAACUAUUCAAAUUAAAUAAAAUAUCGAAAUAAAAGCCCUUUCUAUUUUUGUUUCUCUUUUUUGUGUUUUUUCUAAUCCUUUUUUCUUGUAAAAAUUUCUUUCUUUUUGAAUUUUAUGGUCCAAUUUAUAGUGAUUUAAAGUCUCUUUAUCGUGUUUAAACAUGAUGAUUGAAUUACUAUUUUUUUUUAUAUUUUUUAUCACCCUUUAAGUUAAAAAAAAAAUGUUUAAAAUAUAGAUAUGAAUACAGUAAUUCAAUCACUCGUAUUCAACUUUAAAAUACCAAUAUGAUGCUCGUGUAGGAAAAAAAAGGAUCCUUUAUGCAAAUAUAAAUUUACUAGAACCAUUUAAAAAAAAAAAUUUGAGAGGAUUAAAUAUUAAAAAAAAAGUCCAAAAAAAAAUUCUCCUCCUAACUUUUGUUUCUUUUUUCUUUUCUUUUCUUUUCUUUACUCUCCAGUCUCCAUCCAAAUGAAGUGUCAAAAGAACCACUUAUUCUAAUUCUAAAAAUAAAAAAAUAAAAAAUAUUUAUUAAAUUCCUGUAUUGCAAUAUUCAUUACCAUAUAAAAAAAAUAAAAAUUAAUUUCAUACAGAUCCAUGCAAAUAUAGUAAAUUGUAAAUAUAUCCCUAUAAAAUUUAACUUUCAUAAAUUGUUUCUGCAAAAGUCUGAUAUUUUCAAAUAUAUUCCAACCGUUAGGAUCUGUUUAAAAAAUAUAUAAUUAACAAUAGAUAAAAUACUUAACCGUAGUUAGUUAAUGAGAUGAAUUGAUCUUCUUACCCCUCUUCAAUUAAUAAUUUAGACUCUCGAAUGGGCAUAUUUGUAAUAGCAAAAAGGUCAUUUCACUUAUAAAAUAAACAGUUAUUUAACAAUAACAAAUUAAAGCAAGACUUUUACAGAAAUAAUAUAUGAAAGUUGAACUAUUUAAAGAUAUAUUUGUAAUUCACUUUGUUUAAAGAAAUCUGUAUGAAAUUAACUUACCCCUCUUCAAUUAAUAAUUUAGACUCUUGAAUGGGCAUAUUUGUAAUAGCAAAAAGGUCAUUUCACUUAUAAAAUAAACAGUAAUUUAACGAUAACAAAUUAAAGCAAGACUUUUAUAGAAAUAAUAUGUGAAAGUUGAACUAUUUAAAGAAUAUAUUUGUAAUUUACUGUGUUUAAAGAAAUCUGUAUGAAAUUAAUCUAAAAUACAAUCACACAAACACACGUCAAAAGAUAAGAAGAUUACACAAACGCACGCUACGACAAUUAAUUAACACACAUGCCAUGGAAACAAUAAUCUAUCUUUAUUACAACGAAACGCGAUCAUCAAACUGAUCACUAAAAAAGUUUAUUCAAUUUCUCAAACCAUAUACCACACUCUCCCCUGCCACCGCCACUUCCCCUCCUACGUACUACCAAACUUGCGAAUGCAAAUCAGUUAGCCGCGGCAGCAUUCAUCCUGGCCUGAACUUCUUUUGCAUACUCCAUCAGCUUCCCGGCUUCCGGCAUCAGCUUCUUCACCACCGCUGCAGCGCGAAAGCGCUCCGCCCACGCCAUCAAGAGCGGAAACUUCGCGUUGUCGAGGAGUUUGAUGCCGCGCAUGAUCUCGAUCACCUCGAUCCAGCGCAAGGAACUCCCGAGAACGAUGUCGAGGUAGCCCACAUCGUCGCCGCCGAAAAAGCGCUUCCCUCUGGAGCUCUUCUCGUAAGCUUCCUCUAAAAGCUCGAGUCCUAAAAUGGCUUGUUCUGCUGCAGCCGCGUUCUCCUCGUCUGUUUUACCUCUUAUAAGUCCAACUAAACUUGGGCCAAACUGCAUAUUUUUAAAGCACGGAAUGGAAAUGAUCAGUUUAAACUAAUAAAAUACGAUGAUAAUCAUUAGAAAAUAUAUAUAAAACUAAGGACUAUUAAAAACUAACAUGUAAUUAAAUCACCGCAAGUAACUUUUAAGUGAGAGAAACAGCUACAAAUUACUGUAACUUUUUCUGCUUACAUGGAAACAAACAAUCUCUUAUUAAACUCUAUUGGUAGCAUAUUGCUUCAUUCAUCUUAGACUUAUAAUUUAAAAUUUUUGACUUUUUACUUUACCAAAAUUGAACUCAAUAGGCAAUAUUGAAAUAUGUGAUUGAAAAUAUAUCGGGAAUGCAUGAUGCAUACACGGUACAGAUGCGGAGACGUAGAGCAAUUAUUUUAUAUAUCUCUAACAGAAAAUAUAUAUAGAAUUAAAAUGAAACUCUUUAAGAAUUUAAGAACCAAUAUUGUCAAAAUUGAAAGUUUGAGCAUCAACAGUACAUGUGGCUGAAGAUUCAGAAACCAAUAGCGCAAUUUAUCAAAUAUUUUUCUAUUAUUAUUUAUUAUUAUUAUAUUUUGAGGAGAAGGUUUUGACUAAUGCGUUAAUGUCACGCAUUGCUGCUCCGGACAACCUUACCUCUACUAAUUCAAAUUGUUAAUGCCUUAGUUUUGUGAUAAUAUUUUAUUUUAAAACAUGCGUUGAUGAACAUUUAAUUUUGACAUUUGAGAUCUUAAAACUUUUGCAAACAUUUCAAGUUAGCGCCCAAACUUUUAAAAAUAUUUUAUUUUAGUUCUUAUCAUAGAUAAAAAAAAUUAGAGCAAUGCUACAGUUACACCCUAAAGUGAGAUAUACAUCCAUUCUAUCUUAAAAUCAUUCUUAUUAUAUUAAUUUUUUUAAAAUUUUACUAAAAAUUAAUUCAAUUUUUAUCUACUCUAAAAUUGCAGGUGUAAGAUGUACACAACUUUUUGAGGUGUACAAAAGCAUUUUCCAAAAAAUUAUUGCUUGCACGUAGUUCAUCUGCUUGUUCUUACAUGGUAAAUUUAUUAUUUCUUCAUUCAUCUUAGACUUAUAAUUUAAAAUUUUUGACUUUUUACUUUUACCAAAUUGUAACUCAAUAGGCAAUAUUGAAAUAUGUGAUUGAAAAUAUAGUCGGGAAAUGCAUGAUGCAUACACGUACAGAUGCGGAGAGCGUAGGCAAUUAUUUAUAUAUCUUCUAACAGAAAAUAUAUAUAGAAAUUAAAAUGAAACUCUUUUAAGAAUUUAAGAACUAAUAUUGUCAAAAUUGAAAGUUUGAGCAUCAAAGUAAAUGUGGCUGAAGAUUCAGAAACGAAUAGCGCAAUUUAUCCAAAUAUUUUUCUAUUAUUAUUUAUUAUUAUUAUUAUUUUGAGAGAGAAGGUUUUGACUAAUGGCGUUAAUGUCACGAUUGCUGUCCGGACAACCUUACCCUACUAAUUUCAAAUUGUUAACGCCUUAGUUUUGGUGAAUAUUUUAUAUAUAUAUAUAUAAUUUUAUUUAUAAAAUAUAUUCAUUUAUUAUAUAUUUAUUAUAUAUAGUAUUUUAUUUUUAUAUAAAAAUAUUAUUAUAUAAUAUUUUAUUUAUAAUCAUAAUAUAGUUUGUUAUUUUUGUUACAUAAUUAGCUUAAUUUUAUAUUUCUUUAUUCAUAUAUUCUUAAAAAAUAUGAGUAUUUAUACUAAUAGUAUAAAUUUUGAGAGAAAAAAAUUUAAUUUAAUAGCCGAAUUUUUAAUUUCGAAUUUUUAAUUGGUGAACGUAUAAUAUCUGUAUAAAUCACGUAUCCGAAUAAUUACCGAAUCCGUUUUUUAGCCGUAUUUUUCAACGAAUUUAAAAAUUAGAAAACGAAUUUUAAUCGAAUUAUAUCCGUACCGAAUUUUUGCCGAAUCCGAAUUAACUAACUAUGAGUAAUACAAGAGCAUCGUGCUAUUAGGCAAAGCGGUAGAGUACUGCACCUUAGAUGGUUAAAAUCUAGUUACUCCUUAUUGAACGGGCACUAUAAGUAAUUAUAGAAAAAUAAUUUGGGUAUUAAUUUCUUUAAUGAGUCAUUUUUACGUCGUUAAACAAACAAACAACUUAUAUAUGAGAUAAAAUAUU